AAAAAUCAUGACUGAUUUUAUAGUGUACACAUAUCCUUGUCAACAUUUUAAGUAUAUGUGUUAGUAGGAGUACUAUCAAAAGAAGAUAAACGCAUGCACCAAAAGAGAAAAUUAUUAAUGAUAUGAUACAACUGAGAAGUGUCUUAAAAUUAAUCCAAAACACAAACAUAUAGAAUAGGUAACAUUUCAGAAAACUCACAACACAAAAAUGAUUGGUUUGGUGUCACAAUGCCAAUGCCAAUGCUAAAAUGAUCAAAGAUUAGUGCACAUUUCCAUUUAAUUCCUAACAACAGUUCUUUAUAACCUCAUGGGUAAUACUCAUGUUAAACUAAGGUAACAAUGAGUAUUUAUAAUCCAAAAAGUAAAAAAUAAUUUAACAAAGGAACAGCUGCCAGCCGGAACAUUUAUUGCACUGAGAGUUAAUAUUGAGACCCUUUGAAAAUCUGAGUGAACUCUAUGUCCACCUAAGUCCUCACCAGAGGUUCCUGCUGCUACUCGUAUAAUAUCUUCAAUAAGUGCAAAGUUCCCCAAUAUAUCAACAUGAGCACCACUCUGGGUUCCCUUCCUUCGAGAAGAUUAGCCGGAGCAGCGUCUUCAUACUCCCUUAUGAACGUUUAGAUGCCUGAAGGAUUAAAGCGGGUUUUUCCCCGCCAACCUCUUGCACAAAUGAAACCAGCGCUUAAAAGAGGAUCGGUUUCAUCCCUGUUGGCACUAUAAACUCCAUCCUUUAAAAAAGGGUCCUCAUCUCCACCAAUUGCUGAUGUGUCAAUCUGAAACGAAAUGUAGCAUUCCGAUUGGGAGGUUGACUUAUAAACAUAGGCUCCUUACAAUGGAAUCCCGACCCCAUACAUAGAGUAAAUCUCCAUAUUUGGAGCAUGUGGUAAUCUGCAGCAGCAGGACAAAAAUAUAACACAAACCAUAAAGAGAAGUAGUAUGAAUAAACAACGGAUUUUAAAAGACAGCAGGAUACAACAUUAUAGAAGAUAGCAAAAGCAAGAAUCUAUCAAUACCCCAAACCAAGGUAAUAAAAUGAUUAAUUACGUAGUAGCUAAGUGCCAACAAUAAUUACUUAACCGUAAAGUAAAAUUCGUAUUGAUAAUGUGUUAUGAAAAUAAGGAUUAGGGUUUGAGGGAAGGAAGAAAGAGAAUAGGAAUAGAAUGAUAGAUAAUUUUAUUAUUGAUCGUGUAAAUUAGAGAAUAUGAGAGGAGUUAUUUAUAGCCAAGGAUCUAACUCUUAACCAAAGACCCAACGUCUCGCUAGAACAUCCACAAUAAAUAUAUUUAUAACAACAAAGCAUUAUUUAUGGUUUUAAUUUGAGAAUUUGAAAUUUAUUUAUCCAUUGACUUAUAAUAUUUAAUUUAUAUUUAGACUUUUUAAAAAAUUAGAACACACUUUUAAUUUAUAUAAUACAUUUUUAAAUCUAUGAGAUUAAAUAUCAAUAUUUUUAUAUUUUUUUUAUCAUUAUUUUGUGGGUCACACACUACGGUACAGAUGCAAAGUACAGAGAUUUUCCCUGAAAUUUUUGUUUACGGACACGUCUUUUACUCUCCCUCUUGUAGCAAUUAGGGCUUGUGAUGGAAAGGUUGGCUUGGCUAAAAUCACAUUAGAGUGAUCAUAUGUAAAAAUUUGAUAACCUUAUUUAUUUAUUAUUCAAGAGUUUUAAGAGUUUUGUUCAAGAAUUUUUUUUUUUGCCUAAUAACAAUUUUAUAGUAAUAUAAAUUUCUAAUGGAGGUUUAUGAAAAAAAAAUAUUUUUAACAAAGACUACACGUUUUUUUAAAUACAUUUUCAUAAAUAAAUAUCUACAUAAUUAGUUAAUAGUACCAUAAAUUUCUAAAAAUAACUUGCAAUAAUUACAAUUCUAAAUUAAACCUUAAAUAAUGACUUUUGGAUUAGCAAUGUAUUGGAUAAUAAUAGAAUAGAAUUUAGAUUCUAUCCUAAUUCUAUUUGCGUGUUUAAAUUAUUUUUAAAAUUCAACUCUAUUCUAUUCGAGAACUAAGGAUCUUUGAACUCUAACCGUACUCGUAUCUUAAAGUUUUUUUUAUCUAAUUCUAUUUGCAAUAAAUUAUUUUUUAAUCAUAAAUACACUGAUUUAUUAUCUUAUUUUUUGUGUAUAUUAUUAUGUCGAAUAUAAAUAAAAUAAAUUUAGAGUCAAUGCAUCAAAUAUUAGUAUAUCAGUACAAACAAAUGUUAGUACACUUUUAAAAAAAAUAAAGAGUGUAGUGCUCUGUAAAUUUAACUUGCCAUUAAAAGUAAACAAAAAAAAAGAGAAAACAAAAAAAUAAAUAAAUAAUAAAACAUCAUAAACUCUAAAUCUAAAACUUUAAAACGUAAACCUUACAAAAUCAUAAUUGAUAUGAUCGUUAUAAAUCGGUCAUACAUUAUAAUUCGGUCAAGAAUGUUAUAGAUUCGUUUUCAAUAAUGAUCAUCAAAGCAGAUCUCAAAACGCUCAAAUGAGCUAUUACUCUCUGUUAAUGGCAAAAUUACUCGGAGACUCAACGGGGUGAAUGCAGAUUGGAUCAGAUCGGAUAUGGCCAAAAUUUCGAUCCGAUCCACACUAAAAUCAUCAGAUCAGAUCGGAUCCAAUAUCCGCAGUUUUUAAGUUUGAAUCCGAUCCGAUCCGCACAUUUGCAGAUUGGGUCGGAUUGGAUAUAUCCGUAAAACACAAAAAAUAUUUUUAAAAGUUUAUUUUUAUUAAAAAAUAUCAAUAAAAUUUAUUUUUUCUAUUCUUUUAAAUAUGUUUACUCUUAAAAUAAUAUUAAACAUAUUUUUUUAAAUAAUAAAUUAAAAUAAUACAACAUAUAUGAUAAUUAUUAGUUGAAAUAAAACAUAAAAAAAUAUUUACUUAUUUAUUUCUUUAUUUUUGUGGAUACGUGGAUAUGCGAAUCGGAUAUGCAUACCUACACAAAAUCCGCAAUCCGAUCCAAUUAGUGUGCGGAUCGGAUCGGAUUCGGAUAAAUACCGCGGAUAUGCGAAUUAGAUCCGAUCCAUGAACACCCCUAACUCAACCAUUAUCUUCCAUUGCAGAUAUAAAAGAAAGGGUAAGAAAUGUUGUUCAAAUUAUUACAACUUACAAAGCCUAUUAUUCACUUAUUAACUUGAGCGUCGGAGUGAUUUUUACAGAUAUCCACCCCUUAUUCUCUUAUUGCCGACGUGUAACUCAUCUCAACGGAAAAUUUACAAAAAUUUAUCGACAAACGAGCUAUAUAACCACCAACCUCCACAAAAACAAUAAUAAUUAUAACCCUAAACUUAAACCCAAGUCUUAUACUCUUAAAUCUUAAACAAUAUAAGCUAAAGCUUACCCCUUAAUGGGCAAUGGCUUUUUUUUGUUUAUCAAAAAGAAAAAAAAUUACAUUUUCAAAAAACCAAGAUGACCCUCAUAUUUUUUGUUUAAUGAAAUUAAGUUCUUAGAUAAAAAAAAUUAGUAAAAGUUGAUUUUAGCAUAGUUAUUAAAUCGAGUUUGAUCUUAUUAGUCGAAUUGGUAAAUCCAGGUUGGCUUAGUUGAUUGAAUUGAAAAUUUGGUCAUCAAUCUAUAUUGGAUCAUUAAAAAUAAUAACAUCUUCCAUUGCAACUUAAUCUUUUAACAACAACAAUAACAAUAACAACAAAAAUAUUAAUAUUCAAAUUAAAAAAAUAUUAUUUCAAAUUUAGGGUCAUUUUUACGUUAUUUAUAGGUUAAUUUGAUUAGUAUUUAAAUAUCAGUGAGGCUCAGCUCUAAUACUUUUGCUGUUGCACAUUCAAUUAGCAUUACAUAAGUGUUUUAACUUAAAGAACUCUAAUUUUAUGUCAACUUGACAAUGAACAUAUAAGUUUUUGUAAAAAAUGAGUCUUUAAUUUCUAGUUAGAAGCAAUCUUCCACCAUUAAUAAGUGAAAUAAAUAUAUUGGUAAUAAAUUAGUCAUAAUAUUAAUCCAAACUUAUCUAUAACUAUAUAUUAUUGUUGAUAAAAUUUAAGAGAAAAUCCUACUCUUCUUCUUUAAAAGAUACUAAAAUAACAUUUUUUUUAUUUAUAAAAUGUACAUUUUUUUAUAACUUUUAAAAAAUCUUCUCUUUAAUCCAUUUUAAAUUGUUUGUGCUAAUUAUGGUCAUAUAUCUAAAUUAUACGUAUUACUAGUAUAUAGUAUUAUUAAUUAAAUAAAAUCAAUAACAAAGUAUUGAUUCAAAAUGAGUUCAUGAUCUUUAUAUUUAAUUUUUUAAAUUCUAAAGUAACUAUUUUCAGGAUUAAAGCUUUUUAAUUGUAAUAGAAAUUAGAAUUUUGAAUUUGAUUUAAAAAAAUUAAAAUACUCUUUUUAUUAAUUUACAUACGACUAAAAAAUAUUAUAAGGGAGUUAAAUUGUGCUUUUUGGUCUAAAAAUCAAAGACAAUGUACAUUAUAAAUACAUAACUCUCUAAUUUUAUAUUUCAAAUUUUUUCACUCAUGUAAUUAUUUCACUUAAUUACAAAUUAAAAAAAUAAAGUCAAUUUCACUAUAAUCAAACCCAAGGACCAUUUAUAUAUAAACAUUGGAUAAUUAGACUUUUUUUAUAAAAUUUUUCUUUGUUUGUAUUUUUUAGUCAUUUUAAUACAUGUAUCAAAUAUAUAAAUUAAAUACUAUUAGAAUUUAGAAGUAUUUAACAGAUUAAUGGAAAAAAUAGUUAAAUAAAUAUGUAAAUAAUUGAAAACAUAAUGUCAAUUUUUAAAUAUACUUCAUAAUUGAAUUAAUAAAAUGUUAUUAUUAUUAGGGUAAAAAAUACAUAUAAGCCAAGGAGAGAAGUUUAUUACGCAUUUCAGCCAAACAAGAAUCUGAAGCAAGAAUCAACCAAAGCACACUAUAAUGUAGUUCGAAGCAACAAAAUUCGAAUUACAUUCCUUCAUAAUUCGAAUCAAAACAGCACGAAUUAUGCCCAACCAUUGCGGACAAGUAAUUCGAAUCAACUUGGUUCAAAUUACAGAAGCAUAAUUCGAAUAAUGUCAAUUCGAAUUAGUACCAACACAUGACUAGGAGGAAGUUCGAAUCAUAUUGACUCGAAUUCCUCACAUUUCGUAACAAAUGGUAAUUCGAAAUGUGUUGAUUCAAAUUAUAUAUAUAUAGUGCGAAUGAGGAUGAUUCAGAUUAUUGUGAACCAGACCUGUAUAUAUAUGAUGUGAAUGUGAGUUGCUCUCAUUAGAGGGGUCAGAUGGCUAGUAAGGACAGUUUUGUAGUGUUGGUUCAUCACAGAGGAUCGAUUAAGAGAAAAACUCGUUCCGGUGUGAAGUUCACCGAAAAGGAUCCUCUCUGUAUUAUCGUGAGGCCUACGACGAGCUAUGAUGACCUUGUUAGCUCUGUAAUGCUGAAACUUGGUCUGGAAGGUGUGAAAAGGGUUAAGAAGUUUUUCUAUCGCAUUCUAAUCACGGUGCUCUAAGAUACCGUGAAGUAUGAUUGUUUCACGAUCGGGAGUGAUGAGGACUUGCAGAUUAUGUUUCAUUGUCGCCGGCAGUUUCCCGAAGUGAAGACACCAGAGCUGUUGGCAAAGUUGGUUGAUGUGGUAUCCAGUUUGGGGGGUUCGAACCGGAAUACCAACACUUUAGCCACGGUGGCCGGUUCUAGCUCGAGACCUGCCCUUGCUUCUUCGUCCGUCCCUGCGUACGAGCCACCGAUCCAGCCUGUUGCCUCCCCUUCGUUCGCUGUUGAUCUCAACGGCAGUGUUGGCGACGAGGUUGGAACAGGGGACUUUCUGCCGACCUCUCUACAUUGUGCUGCACCGGAUGGUCUUGGAGAUGGAUUGUUUGACGAUCCAGAGGACGAUGAUGUCGAGUCGGAUAUGAUUUCUGAUGACAGUGGCGAUGAUGUUGGAGCGAGUGAGCCUGCAGAGGCGGGAGGUGGUUCUAGCUCUGGCACACACCAGUACCCUCCACAUUUUUCAUCUUUGGACCUGGAUGCCAUGAGGCAGGAGGGGGUUCCUGGGCAGCCUGCUGGAUUUGGCGCUAGAGAUGCGGAAGGGUCUGCUGGUCUGACAGAGUUCCAGGUUGGUCAGCAAUUUCGGGAUAAAGAUGAGGCCCUGUUAAGUGUGAAGACUUACAGCAUCCGCCGAGGGGUACAAUACAAGGUAGUUGAGUCGGACUAUCGCCGGUAUGUGGGCAAGUGUUCCGAGUUUGGGAAUGGGUGCACAUGGUUGAUUCGGUUGAGUCUCCGGCAGCGAAAGGGCAUUUGGGAGGUCAAACGAUACAAUAGACUGCAUACGUGUCUCGCAACCUCCAUCUCCAGCGACCACAGGAGUUUGGAUUAUCAUGUGAUAGCGGCAUUCAUUAUGCCAAUGGUUAGGGCUGAUGCAUCCGUCAGCAUCAAGGUGCUCCUAAAUGCCACGGCCACACACUUUGGGUUCAGGCCGACGUACCGGAGGGUCUGGUUGGUGAAGCAGAAGGCUGUUGCCAUCAUCUACGGUGACUGGGAUGAGUCAUACAACGAGCUCCCUAGGUGGGUGUUAGGAGUCCAGUUGACCAUGCUUGGUACUGUUGCAGUCCUUAGGACUAGCCCUGUUCGAGUUGGGGGACAGCUGAACGAGUCUCAGGCUUAUUUUUACAGGUUGUUCUGGACGUUCCCACCAUGUAUCGAGGCAUUCCGUCAUUGCAAGCCGUUGGUGAGUAUUGACGGCACCCAUCUAUAUGGCAAGUAUGGGGGAACGUUGCUUAUCGCAAUUGCACAGGAUGGGAACUCCAACAUACUUCCUGUUGCAUUCGCACUAGUCGAGGGUGAGAAUGCUAAGUCGUGGUCCUUCUUUCUCUCCCACCUGCAUCAGCACGUGACGCCGCAGCCGGGUCUGCUGGUUAUUUCGGACAGGGAUAACAGCAUCAAGGCCGCGCUUGAGGCUCCCGACGGGGGAUGGCUACCUCCAGCUGCAUACCGGGCGUUCUGCAUUCGACACGUAGCAGCAAAUUUCGCCCUCACCUUCAACGGCAAAGACGCAAGCAGGCUUCUUGUGAACACUGCAUAUGCUAAGACCAAGGACGAGUUCGAUUACUGGUUUGAUAUUCUACGCUCUAAAGAUCCGGCGAUGUGUGACUGGGCGAACCAGAUUGAGUAUUCAUUGUGGACAUAGUAUUGUGAUGAGGGACGCAGAUUCGGGCAUAUGACGACGAAUAUCUCUGAGUGUGUGAACUCAAUCAUGAAGGGUGUCAGGAACCUACCUGUGUGCUCGCUGAUGAAGGCCACAUGCAGAAGGUUGGCCAAACUAUUUGUCCGCAAGGGGAGAGAAGCCGAGGCCCAGCUGGGUACCGGACAACAAUUCAGUCAACACCUGGUUAAAUGUAUCGAGGCCAAUUUGAAGACGGAGAGGUGCUUCACUGUGACUGUGUACGACAGGGAUAACUCAGAGUACACCGUGGUAGAGACGACUCCGACUGGUUCGUUCUCACUGGGUAGCUACAGGGUCUCCCUUGGAUCUCAGACAUGUGACUGUGGAUACUUUCAGGCACUUCAUUUUCUGUGUUCGCACAUAUUGGCAUGCUGUGCCUACUCAUGGGUUACUUGGCAGCCAUACGUCCACCAGGUGUAUCGUCUUAGUUCGAUUUUUAGUGUGUAUCGGAUGGGAUUCGCAGCUCCCAUUCUGGAAGGUUUCUGGCCACCAUAUGAUGGGCCUACAGUGAUACCGAACCCGAACAAGAGGCGUGCGAGGGAGGGUCGUCCCAGGUCCACUCGGAUACGGACCAAUAUGGACGAGGCAGAUCCGAACCGGCCAAAGAGAUGUGGCCUCUGUCGGCAACCCGGACACACUCGUCGGAGUUGCCCAGAGGUCGGAGGACCCAGCCAUGGAGGGAGAAAUGAGUAGGUGUGGUGUUGUGUUGUUAGUUGUAUUAGUUUGAUCAUUCAAAUUUUUUUUUGACACGAAUGUUUUAGGUUUGCUAAGUUGUCGGUGUUUAGUCAUGAGAAAUUGUUACAGUAAAAGUAAUGUAUUUUAAAUGUCUUAUUAAUUAAUGAAUGUGAUCCAUUUCCGACAUGAAAUAUCACUUGGUCAGCCUAUAGUUAAGACAAUAACAUGAACUUUCAAAUUAAAUGAAACAUGCUAACUAAAAUAUGGAAAUAGGUUAAAUAAGCUAAGUACACAUGUUUUCAUACUGACUGAUAGACGAUAACGCAAUAAAGUACCGCACACAUACAUCAACUGAUAAACUAAAGCUGGCUACGAAACAACACUGAUAACGAAAUACAUAAACAAAAAUAGGUUACACACAACACUGAUCAUGAAAUAACAUACAACACAAUACACAAAUCAUCUAAAUAAGUGCGACCCCGUGAAGCACCGACGUGGAACCCGUGUUCUCUGACCUCUCCAGAUAAGCUGCUCCUCAUCCUCGAUCUCAUCCUCCUUGUCCUCCGGGGGUGGCUGUGCAGGCAUCCUAGGCUGGACAUGUAAAGCUCGGGAUGAAGACGGCCCGGCAACUGACUGUGACCUCACAGUAUGUGCGGAUGGUGGGAUACCACCCAAGGCAGAAUACUCAACAGGAGCCACGGAGGGAGGCUCAUUCAGAUCGACAGCUAACGGUGCUUGUGUCCCCGUCGUCUGACCCCAUCGACGGGAAGCCUCAUCCUCCUGCAUGAUGGCACUGAUCUCAUCUAGGAAGUGUGAUCCACCGAACUCUGCAUCAAGACCAUCACCGGCAAGAAAGUCUGGAAACAUGGAUCCUAGACUCACCCAUGGCGUACUCUCCUGAAGUGUCUGAUCGUCAGCGGGAACACCAACGAAAUAAUCUCCGAGCGACCCCUGUCCAAGUCUAGCAUCAUCAUGGGCAGAAGGAUCUCCCAUACCGGACCCAUACCACUCUCCACCAUGCCCGCCAUGAUCGGGACUAACACCCCCCACUGCAGGCCCUCCUCCAGCGGCAUCCUCACCACGAUCACCGUGAUCCUGCCUAGCAGCAGGCGCUCUCCGUCUGCCUCCACGCCCUCGUCGUCGACCACCGCCCUUACCUGCGUCGUCACCCUCCUCCAUAGCCUGGUCCAGCCACCUCCACUCAUGCUGGCUCCGUCGUGUCCCGACUCGAGCUCUCCUCUCAACCCGACGCUUAUCAGGAACGUCGUCAACUCGGUCCAUAUCAGGUACUCGGCCAGAACCCCUCUGCGUCGCCUCAACCAGAAUAGGAAUGGCUCUCGGAUCCCCCAAGUACAUCUCAGGUGACAAGAACCUCUUUCCGUGCUGAUGCCACCAGUCCAAGAAGUCAUGUGAGGGUCCCGGGUCGGCAACAACGCCGAACUGCAGAACGUGAUCCGCACGUGUCUCCCAGUGAAGAUGCCAGUGCUGCAAGUGGUGCAGGAACCAAUGAUCACCUCCUCUCCCGUCCUUCGACAUCAAGAAGUCAAUGUUCAGGACGGGCUGCGGGCGGGCCUGUACGCCGCCGAACUAGGGUAACACCCUAUCAAUCUGAUGCCACUCAACCACCGCAAAAUAUAUCAGUGACGUCACACACCGCCAUAACGUCGUAUGACGAGGCUCCAACACCUCCGGAUGGACAACCUGAAGGACGUCGGGUGUGCUAUAGGGCAUCCAUAUAAACUGAAAAAAAGCAGCUCAAAUUCGUUAGACCAAAUCGUUUUGAGCAGGUCGAAGCUAUAAUUAGCUAUAGUUAACUAUGCAUUUACUAUACUUAGGAGGUUAGCAUACUCACAUCCCUAGCCUGUAACAUGUCAAUCCUCAGUUGAGUCAUUUGCACCCGAGGUCCCUUCUCGCUAAUGCCAGGAUUGUAACCUGACCACCUGCAUAGGAAGUCAACAUGGUAGCGCAUUCAUGAAUGUGACGAAAUAGUAUAACAUUACAGGCGAAAUUGGAAAUAAAUAAAAUAAAGAUGCAUAGUAAACUGCGAUAGUGGUACCUCGAGGCCAGGGGCCAACUAAACACAUCAUACCCAGCAGGCCUAAAUCCAGGAAAGCGCCAAAAGAUCGAGGACUGAAGUAACUGUAACGGCCCAGCUAACUUCACGAUAUGUCUAUUGGCCACUCGGCACAUGCACCGGUACAACCAUGCUAGUGCCGCCGACCCCCAGCUGUAGCCACCCAUCUCCUCAAGCCUAGCCACGAACGGUAGCCAUCUGAUGUGAAUACGAUUGCCGGACUUGUCGGCAAACAGCUGGGUGCCCAACAACAUCAUGAUAGGCAUGGGCAAAGCACCUCACUGUCUCCUCAUUGGCCCCCUCGGGACACUCUCCAAAAGUCUCCUGGAACCAGGUGCAGUUCACUGCGAACUUUUGAAUUUGGUUCGCGGGAGGUAACACACCGAGCAACUUCUGGAACCACUGCCAAGCUGGCCUGCCACCCUGUAUGUAUACGUGGAAGUCUGUCAGGCAACCACUGACGUAACGUCCGUCCACUGGCAACCCCAACUGGUACGCGACAUCCUGAAGUGUGAUCGUGCACUCUCCGAACGGCAUGUGGAACGUGUGCGUCUCCAGACGCCACCUCUCCACGAAGGCACUCACAAGGGGCUCGUCCAAUCGGAACCAUCUGUCGUUCAGUCUCGCAAGAUGGUAUAAUCCGGCCAUCUGUAAGUAUGGAACGUACCUCUCAUCGAGUCGCAUCCCUGCUGCCGCCGCAUGCUCGAUAUGCAACGCCGGGGCUGCGCAUUACAUGGACUGCAUAAUUAGAACGAAUUACAAUACCACUAACAGAUGCAAUUCAUGACGUAAACAACUAACAAAUACCACAUGCAAAAGCAAAAUGUAGUAAACCACUAGCAAAAUCGCAUACUAAAACUGCAUCCAAAAAACCACUAACAUAAACCACAUGCAAAUCCACUUACAAAAAUCACAUGCAAAACCACUCAAUUAACCACCUCCAAUACCACCACCCUAAACCGCUAACAUAAAUCGCUAAAAUAAACCACCAAUAAAACUGCAAACAAAACCACUAGAAUAAACCGCAUGCAAUACCACUAACCCAAACCAUUAACAUAAAUCGCCAAUAAAACCGCAUGCAAAACCGCUAACAUAAACCACUUGCAAUACCGCUUUCAUAAACCACUAACAUAAACCACUAUCAUAAACCACUAUCAAAAACAACUAACCUCGUCGUUGAUCACCCUGGCGAUAUGAGCAACUCCAUCCAAACGAUACAGCCUUCCCGGAUCGUCCCCAUCGCCUGAGUAUGCCGCUCCAGUCUUUCUCGGACCGAUUCUGGGUCGUUUUCUCUGGGAUUUGGUGGGGUAUGAGAAUGGAAAACUGAUUCGAAUGACCUUGGUUCGAACUCCUUAUAUAAGCCUCUCCCUUGUAAUUCGAAUCAAUAAAAUUCGAAUUACCAUAUGUUACCAAAAGUGAGUAAUUCGAAUCUAUAUGAUUCGAACUCCCUUUUCGUCACGUGAUGCUACUAAUUCGAAUCGAGUCUAUUUGAAUUAUGCUUUUGUAAUUCGAUACAUGUUGCUUCGAAUUACUUGUACGUACUCAUUGGGCAUAAUUCGUUAUGUGUUGAUUCGAAUUAUUAAGGAAUGUAAUUCGAAUAAGGUUGUUUCGAAUUACAUUAUAGUGUACUUUGAUUGAUUGAUGAAUCAGAUUCUCAAUUGGCUGAUAUGUGUAAUAAAAUACUCCCCUUUGGCUUAAAUGUGUUUUUUACCUUAUUAUUAUUAACAAUUUUAAGUAUUAUAUAUAUAAUAAAUUUUGCAAGUAAUUGAUAUAGAAUUAUGGAUAGAAAAAUGGUAAGUUGAAUUAGAAUAUGAACAAUACUACAUAGCUGCUAGUAAAUAUUAUUAUUUUUUGUUAACAAUAAUUUAUAUCUAUAUUUAGUUAUUUACAUACGCUUUAUACAUAAAAGCAUAUAAUUUGUAUUUAUAUUUACUAGAGUUUUAUACACAUAAAUCAAUACAGUUUGUACCUAUAUUUUUUAGAAUUUACAUACAUAAAUUAAUAAAAUUUAUUUGUUAAAAAUAAUUUAAUAUUUGUGCUGACUAAAUAAUGACCAAAACUUUAAAAGUUGCUAGUUCUAAAACAUUUCUCAUAAAAUAUUAGUUUACAAAUGAAUUAAAGAAAGUCAUGUAACUCUUUUUUCAUUUUUGAAUUAUACAAGAAAAAAACUCUCUUUGAUAUAUAUUAUAUAGAAUAUUAUCAAUUUUCUCUGUCACUUAAAAAGCACAUAUGCCAUAAUUUUUGUAAAAAAUAAUUAUAUCAAUUAAAAUUAAAAUCAUAUUUUAGCUAAUUAAUAUUUUUUAUCUUAGCUAAUUAAUCUUAUUAUUGGUAUUAAAAGUUUAAAAUUCUUUUUUUAUUUUUCUUGCAGGACCAUUAAAGAGAAAAAAAAAAAAUCAAGAGAGUCAAGGACCAACUUAUAUACAACAAAAGGUCCAAUGCAACAUAAAUGACUUCUCCUUUAUUGUGGCUGACUAAGCCAAGCCACUAACUUUCUAGGUCACCACAAAUUGCUUCUCCAAUCUAAAGACAAAAUAGUACACGUAUUGCAAGAAGAGUUAUGUUACGGGAAUAUCUAUAAACUUAAAUCUGUACACUAUAAUUCACCUUGUUUUGUUUGUGUCUAAGUUAGAUUUCUCUUUGUUUUAUUUUUAAAUUUUAAAAGAUAUAUAUUAUUACCAAAAUUUUAUUAUAAAGUUAUCAUUUUUAUUNNNNNNNNNNNNNNNNNNNNNNNNNNNNNNNNNNNNNNNNNNNNNNNNNNNNNNNNNNNNNNNNNNNNNNNNNNNNNNNNNNNNNNNNNNNNNNNNNNNNNNNNNNNNNNNNNNNNNNNNNNNNNNNNNNNNNNNNNNNNNNNNNNNNNNNNNNNNNNNNNNNNNNNNNNNNNNNNNNNNNNNNNNNNNNNNNNNNNNNNNNNNNNNNNNNNNNNNNNNNNNNNNNNNNNNNNNNNNNNNNNNNNNNNNNNNNNNNNNNNNNNNNNNNNNNNNNNNNNNNNCUCUCCUUUUGUCGUCGUGUUUGUGUUUAAGUUAGAUUUCUGCCGGUUUUAUUUUUAAAUUUCAAUUAGUAUUGGCUUUAUAUAUUGUUUGAAGUUGAUUGGUGUAAAAAAUUUGUUGACACAUUAAAUGAGUAGUAGAGUUAUAAAAAAAAAUACAAACUUUAAAGGUAAAAGUGAAAUAAGAUUAAGGGCUUAUUUAGGUAAGUUUUUAAAAAAAUAUUUUUUUCGAAUUAUUUUUUAAAAAAAUCUUAUAGAAAAGUAAAAGUAAAUUUAUGUUUGGAUAUCUCAUUCCAAAAGAUCUUUUUAUCUAUCAAUUAUGGUACUUUUUUGUUUAUUUAUUACAUGAAAAACAUCUUUUUUUUAAUGAAAAAAUAUCUUUUAAAAAAAGAUGUAAAUUAUAGCUUCUUAAAAAAUAUGCGUUUUUAUUUUUCUAAUGCUUUUACUUUUACUAAUAAAAAUUUGCAAAAUACACUAACAAAUAAAAAAAAAUCUUUUUUCAUUAAUAAAAGAUCUUUUUUUUUUAAGAUAUGGCGCCCAAACAAGCACUAAGAAGUACAUUGUUGUAGAAUUUUUUUUAAAAGUAAAAAAUUAGUUCUCGUGUAUAUUAGUUUAAUUAAUUUUAUUAUAGAAUAUCAAUCAUAUUAUUAUAGCUCUAUUAUCAUAUGUUUCCAUUUUUAUGUUUUUUCAAAAGGCAAAAUAUAGAUAUUGAGCACCAUUUGAAUUCAUAACAAGAAAAGAAAUUAAUUAUCAUAGUACAUGUUAAGUUUUAUAUUACUUAAAAUAAAUGAUGAUAAUUGAUGGCUCUGGCGAUUUGUGUUUAAUUAUAGUUAAUUGGGUCACUCUUGUGUUUGUAGUUAAUAAGGUCAGUUGAUACAACAAUUUAUUUUCCUUGACGAAUUAUCUCUUGGUAAGGUGGUGUUGUGUUUGUUCUUUGCUCAUAUUUUAUUUUCUUUGUCUAACAUAUUUUGUUCAAGUCGAUCGAAACGUUGACAAUAUAAUGAUUGAUUUGUUAAAUUUUUCAUUUUUAUUUGUAGUAAAUUCCUAUCAUAACCAUAAGGUAACAAGAUGUAUGGAGGAACAACAACAAUGCUAGACGAUUGCGAGUGGAGCGGUUAUUUAAAUUUCUUUCACGAUUGCAAGUGAAACAGUGAUUUAGCUCUCAUGUUAAUGGCAUAUUUUUAACUAAAAAAAUAUUAUUACUAUUUUGUCCAUUAAAUUUGGUUUAUGAAAUAAAUUAUUAGAAAAUAAAUGGUGUCUAAAAGAUUGGAUACCAAAUUUUAGUAUUGGUUUUAAAAUAAAAUGUAACACCCUACCACACAGAGUCUAUGCUUAAGUCAUAAAACUGAGGUAGUGAGGUAUUUUGACCUCUAAAAAUAAAAAUAUACAUAUGAUAUAGUUGAAAAAGUUUUACGUCUAGGAGCCUUUGAAGAAAAAUUUAAAACAAAAAUCGUAACACUCACGUAAACGGAAAUUUGGGUACGAAGAAGCGUAAGAUAUAUGUGUAUGAAUAAUAAAAAUAGAGUGUUAAAGAUAUAAUUAACAAAGCUUCAGACUCGAUUCGUGAAGAUAAACCGGCCAGAACAUGCAAGUAUAUAUAUAUACAUAUAUAUAAGAGAAUCCCAAAAUGACCUAACGCAGAAAAAUGACAGCCUGUUUCUCCGAAUCAACCUCUUAGAGGGACAAACAUAAAAUAUAAGGUGGAGAAUCUAUAUACAUACAUAAAUAUAAACAAAGAUACGACCUUCAGUCCCAAGAGUUCUUCGCUUCAUUAGCGUCUCCAGAAUACAGAGUGGUGCUUCUCAACCUGCAUCUGAAAAAUAACAAUACCGUAUGGGAUGAGAAUCGAGGGUUCUCAGUAUGGUUAAAGUACCCACAUAUAUAAUAAAUAAGGUCUCGGAAAAGCCAGAGGCAAUCCUAGCACACUCAAAUUAUAAAUCUUAAAGAGCUAAAAUGUAAACCGUAAAUGGGUGGUCCUCUAAAGCUUUCUAAACUAAACUAAUUCCUUGAAUCUAAUUAAAACUGAACUAGAAUUCUAAAUCUCUUCGCCUUUCCUCCGUUCCUCCAACUCCGAUGAAAUUACACAAAUAGACAAAUAGGCAAAGCAAGCACAGGUAGAAUACAAAUACAACAUGUAGCAAUUUAGCGAGUAGGCAAAAUAAUCACGUAGGCAAACCCAAUUAAUGCACAAGCAAUCAAAGCACACAAAUGCAUAUGAUGCAUGCCUGUCCUAUGGCUGACGAUAUCAUCUGUCGGUUAUAUAACUAACCCGACACGUCCUGGUAACUAACCAUGGACUGAAACACCCAUGUAGAGCAAGUGAGUUUGAGCUACAACCCCCUUGCUACUACCCGCUUAACCCAGAGCCAGUGGAAUAACCACUACUGCGGCUACUACCCAGGUGGGUGUUUAAAAGCUCAACCUGGAGCAAGCAGAAUAAUCCACUACUGCUGCUACUACACAGGCGUCACGAUCACUAACCUGGAGCAAGCGGGAUGAACCACCAUCCUUGCUACUGCCUAGGAUCUCAAACAUACAGUCAUUCAGUUUAAAUCAAUCAUCAUAGUUAUCAAAUCUUAAACAUUAACCUGGAACAAGCGGGACGAGCUACCAUCCUUGCUACUACCCAGGGUUUCACAAACAUUCAUUCAUUUAUUACUCCAUAAUUAAAUUCAUUUCUUCAUACUCUUCUUUCCUAGCUCACAUCCGGAGCAAGUGGUCAUUGCCACUGCCUACUACCCGGGGCCACAAUUACAUUUACACACUUCUCAUUCGUAAUUCACCACCUCUCGAACUUUCUUCAUCUCUAAGGUAGUGGUUGGUAGAGAGACAGAGAUAAAAAGACUGAGACUGAGAGACAGAGAUUGAAAUAAAUUUCAGUAUUCUGUUUGGUGUAAAGUGAGAGACAGAAAUUGAAACAAGAAUCAAACUCUAAUUUAAUUUAUAUAGAAGGUAAAAUUAGAAUUAAUUAAUUGAAAUGAGGAUAUUUUAGGUAUAAAAUGUUAUUAAAAUUUCAGUCUCCAUCUCUAAAAAUUUUAGUCCCCUGUGUCCCUAAUUUUUGGAGGUACUGAAAUACUAAAAUUUUAGAGACAGAGAGAGAAAUUUUAGUACCAGUCUCUGAACCAACAAACAUGAUACUGAGUCUCAGUCUUUCAGUCUCUGUCUCAGUACCUCAAAACAAACGCUACCUAAGUUACUACUUUUUUCUACCUUCUACUCACCAUCUAACAUACAACUGAGGUUUUUAGAGACUAAAAGAGAGAAAAUAGAGGUUUAGAGGUUCAAAAUUAUAUUUUAAAACACAAAACUCACUUUGCUGAAUUUAGGGGUCACGCAUACGCAUAAGCCACGCGUACGCGUGAGCGUGUUUUUCUUGCUCGCAUACGCCAGCAACCAGCUCGCAUACGCGAGAUGCCCAACCCGAAAGGGUUGGUCGUGUCGCGUGCAGUGGUCGCGUACGCAAGACCUGCAGAUUAGCAAAAAUCCUGAAUGCUGCAGAAUUUCAGCCUUGCCCUCCGAACUUUCGACGCAUAUAACUUUUUCGUUUUAAAACAAUUUUCAUCCGUUCUUCGAACGGUGUAAACUUCAUGAACCCAAUUUUCAUUUGAAAUAAUUUGAGAGUCCGGAAUCCAAGUUAUGGAUCACCGAAGUUCGGCUAAAAUGUAGUUUUUCACAAAACCUCUAUUUUCACAAAACACAACUCAUUGUUCACAUGAAUACAACUAAACCAUGCAUCAACAACAUACCAAGCACAGCCACCACAACCCUCAUUCUACCACAACCAACCUCAUCUCAAUGCAAAUUACUUAUUUUCAAUUAUACCAAUGCAAUUACCAAUCAUUCAACACUCAUAUAUAUAUAUAUAUAUAUAUCCACAAUCAUGAAUCAUUAAUCCCUUCAAACAUCAUCAAAUAUCCACUUAAUGUCCACUAAAAUCACCAUACAUGUUCCAAAGUCAUGAUUCAACUUAUCCUAGGCUAUCUAGCUUAAGUUUUCACAAAACAUUAUUUAUUAAAUACGAGAAACCAAAACCAUACAUUGGCCGAUUUUUUGAUAACCUGGAACACCUCAAGCAUUCCCUAACCACAAGCUCCACAACUCCAGCCCCCUCACCAACGAUACCCAGCCUCCAAAGCUAAUCCUCUAGCUUCUAAUUUCUCAAAUUAACUAUAACCGAUAACCAAUUUCAAUCUAACAUCACGAUUAUCACUAUAAUCAAUAUAGUGUUCACUAAAUCAACAUCUCACAAAGAUUUGGAGGGUUCUUACCUGAUCCACAGCUCAAACAAGCUAAACCUGACAAUACCCGCAGGUAAAUUUAAACCUAAAUACCGAAAUUACACCAAAAGUUCAACAUAAUACCUAUUGGAUUUUGAAGUUAGGGGAGAAAAAAUUGUAAAUUAGAAAAUGAAUUUCUUAGAAAAUUAGUUAUUAGAUUUUGUAGAGAAUUCCGAGAUGAACGUGUGUCUGAUGACGGCUCGUCAAUCGGAGCUCCGGAUCAAAAGUUACGUUGGAUUGAAAUUCAAGAGCAAGGGUUUGUUCCUCCCCCUUUGCUCUCCAUCGUUCUGCACUCUCUCUCUCUCCCUUAUCUAUCCUUAAUGAGCUGAAAGCUCAUGGAGGAUGCUUAAAUAGGUUGGGCCUUCGCCCAUUUUGGGUCUGGUGCAAUCGGUUCAGCCUAUUUGGUCCAAUCUUGGGCCAAAUUCUUUAAAAUUAAUGUCAAAAUUCUCGUUUUAAUUUUCUCUAUCACAUUAAAUUAUCAAAUCCCCUUUUCUGAUCACUUGAUUAAUAAUUAAUUUAUUGGUUAAUUAUUUACUAAUUACUCGGGGUUUACAUACUAUCCCCCUAAUAAAAAUUUUCGUCCCCGAAAAUUCGCUCUCAAAUAUGCAUAUAUACUCUCUCAAAUUCAACCGACCUCUUACCAUUCCUUUUUAUCAUUCUCCGACGUCAAUGUAAUAUCCUAUUCCCAACUCAAGCCUAACCUAAACCCAUUUGUCUCACUCUCCAUUUCUCGAUCCUAUAUUAAUCCACUUCCUUUCAUCAUUACAACUCUCGAGUCGCCAAAAUCACUGUGCUUCCGCAGCGUCACUCUGAUUAUAAGCCACUAAGAUUCUUAAUCAUUUACUUACUCUGCCCGAACACUCCUUGAAUCUCUCCAUCUUUCCAACUAAACGUUAUCGACCUUCACCCCAGUUGCACGAGUCCUAAUCUAUGGUCGUCUCUACCACCUAAUCGAUUAUCGCCUCCAUCACAAUUCCUAGGUUAUCCGCUCCAUUCCUUCAAUAGUAGCUCACAUAUCAGCAGCAAGAGAAUCAACCGUAUUACCUCACUCGCAUCCACAAGACGCCAUUUGGGUCUUGUCCACACCGAACGAUUGAUAUUAAGGUGAUCAGUCUUAAUAUAUAAAUCUAGUGCUUCAAAACUCCAAAAGCAUGCUCAUGAACAUUUAUGCUAUAUAUGUUAAGCAGACAUCCUAAAUAGCAUGUAUACCCAGUCAGAGUAUGCUCAGAAGCAUAGUCAGUCCAUUCUCCAAGCUCUAUGAGAACGAACUACUCUAAUACUAUAAUGUAACACCCUACCACACAGGGUCUUAUGCUUAAGUUAUAAAACUGAGAUGGUGAGGUAUAAAAAUAAAAAUAUACAUAUGAUAUAGUUGAAAAAGUUUUAUGUCUACGAGCCUUUGAAGGAAAAUUUAAAACAAAAGUCGUAACACUCAUGAUGACAAGUCAUCAUAUGCUAAUUUUGCAAGCAUUUUCACUUGUUUCAUUAGUUUUUAUGCACUUUCUUGCAUUGUAAGUUAGUAAUUUGGAGUGGAAUUGCAUGAUUUCUUUGAAUCAAUCAACCACCCUUUAAUUGACACAAAAUCAUGAAGUUUAAGCUAAAAUUAAUUGGUUUUAAAUGAAUUUUAAGCUUUGUGAAUUUUGUGAUACUUUGAUUGGUUGUUUUGAUUACUUGUAGGUGAAGAAAAGAAAAAAAUAAGGAAAGCGUAGCCUAAGGAGCAUGAUCUAAGGAAAUAAAGAAAGCAUGCACAAGGAAGAGAAGCGUGGCCCAAGGAAAGAAAAAGCAUGGUUCACACAAAGAGUGAGAGCACAAAGCUCUUGCCAAGAGCUUAGAGCUCUUGUGGAGAGCUUUACUUCAAAAAUCAAAGGCCAAGCAAGGAGCAAGAGCACAAAGCUCUUGCCAAGAGCUUAACCAAACGCUACAAGGAAUAAGGAAGCAAGGCAAACUCAAAGCUCAGCUCUUGCCAAGAGCUUUUUCGGGCUUGCUUUGAAGAAAAUCAAGGAAGAAAAGCUCACCAAUGCACUCACCAAGGUUUGAACUCAAGACCAAAGGGGGAGAGUGUAGCGCUACCUUACAAGGAAAACAAGCAAAAAUUGGCUUGUUUUCACUCCAGGAGAUUCGAACCCAAGGCAUGAGGGAAGGGGGCACCUGAAGGAUAACAAGAAGGCGUUGCUCCAAGGGGGCAAGGGCGCUCAAUUGCUCUACUUAACUGAGCGCUACUUUAUAUUGCUAGGCAUAAAGAAAAUUGGCUCCACAAAAUGCAUUCAUUGGGAAUCGAAGUGGGAGCCUCACUCAAACAACAAGGAGCGCUGCACUCUUCAUGAACUUGCAACCAAUUUUGCUUCACCCAAGGCUUGAACCAGGGACCUCAAGGACAAGCAAAGCUCUUGCUAAGAGCUCAAAACUCUUGCAAAGAGCUUUAUUCUCUUGUCAUAAGGAAGGAACGUGCGCACACUUUGGCAAGGAAGGGAACCAAAGCUCUUGGCCAAAGCUCUUGCCAAGAGCCGAGCUUUCCCCUGGGAGGUGCACCAUGGGCCAAAAUUCAUCAAAAAUAUAAAUUAAUUCAUUUCUUCACCAAAUUUUAGAGCCCACCCAAAUUCUUAGAUCCAAAUUAAAAAGUGUAUAAAUAGGUGUUAGUUUGAUUUAGAAAAGACCUUUUUUCUCCUUCUAGAAUUUUCACUUGUAAUUUUGAGAGUUUUUCUUUGACUUUGGAUCUCUGAGUUCUAUUUUGGGGAAUUGGGAAGGAGAAUUGAUCUCUCUUCUUUCUUGUUCUUGCUUCUACACUUUUUACUCUUUGUUUUGGAUCUUGGGUGGAGAAUUGAAGAAAUUCUGUUUCAAUCUCACCUUGGGAUCUCUCUCUGUUUGUUUGUCUGCAUAAUUCAAGGAAUUGUGAUUUUGGAUUUGAAUUAUCUUUACUGCUUUAUUCUCUACUUCUCCUGCAAUUUACUUUUCUACUUCUCUGGCAAUUGUUCUUGGUUAGAUCAAGGAAGGAUUGAGAUCUAGACUUGUUCUCUAGUCUCUUCUAACCCUGAGAUCUUUAACUUCUCUUGGACCAUUGCAAUUGAGUUACAUUUUGCUUUCUGUUUGGAUUUUCAAGCAAUUGUUCUCUUCUGUUUAGAUCUGUUGCAAUUUUAUUUUAUAUCCCAUUUAUUUGUUUAAUGUCAUUUUGAUUUCUCUUGUUUAAUUUCUGCAAUCCCAACUCCCAAAUCCUUUUAUAAUUCAAGCAAUUUACAUUUCUUGCAUUUUAAGUUUCAGUUAUUUACAUUUUUUGCACUCUAAGUUUCUGUAGUUUAUAUUACUUGCACUUUAAGAUUCAGCUUCUUUACUUCCUUUGCUCUUUAAUUUACUGCAAUUCUUCCAUCUCCCUUUACAAUUCAUGCAAUUUAGCUUCUGUCAGUUACAAACCACUCAAAUCAACUCUUGUUCGCUUGACUAAAUCAACCACUAAACUAAAAUUGCUCAAUCCUUCAAUCCCUGUGGGAUCGACCUCACUCACGUGAGUUAUUAUUACUUGAUACGACCCGAUACACUUGCCGGUGAGUUUUGUGUUGGAUCGUUUUCCACACAUGAACUCACGUAAACGGAAACUUGCAUACGAAGAAGUGUAAGAUAUAUAUGUAUGAAUAAUAAAAAGGGAGUGUCAAAUAUAUAAUUAACAAAGCUUCCGAUUAAUGCAUAAGCAAUCAAAGCACACAAAUGCAUAUGAUGCAUGCCUGUCCUAUGGCUGACGAUAUCAUCUAUCAGUUAUAUAGCCAACCCGACACGUCCUGAUAGCUAACCAUGGACAGAAACACCCAUGUAGAGCAAGUGAGUUUGAGCUACAACCCUCUUGCUACUAUCCACUUAACCCAGAGUCAGUGGAAUAACCACUACUGCAGCUACUACCCAGGUGGGUGUUUAAAAGCUCAACCUGGAGCAAGCGGAAUAAUCCACUACUGCUGCUACUACCCAGGCGUCACAAUCACUAACCUGGAGCAAGCGAGAUAAACCACCAUCCUUGCUACUGCCCAGGAUCUCAAACAUACAGUCAUUCAGUUUAAAUCAAUCAUCAUAGUUAUCAAAUCUUAAACAUCAACCUGGAACAAGCGGGACGAGCUACCAUCCUUGCUACUACCCAGGGUCUCACAAACAUUCAUUCAUUUAUUACUCCAUAAUUAAAUUCAUUUCUUCAUACUCUUCUUUCCAAGUUCAUACUCGGAGCACGUGGUCAUUGCCACUGCCUACUACCUGGGGCCACAAUUACAUUUACACACUUCUCAUUCGUAAUUCACCACCCUCGAACUUUCUUCUUCUCCAAAUUACUAUUUUUUCCUACCUUCUACUCACAAUCUAACAUACAACUGAGGUUUAGAGACUAAAAGAGUGAAAAUAGAGGUUUAAAGGUUCAAAAUUACAUUUUAAAACACAAAACUCACUUUGCUGAAUUUAGCGGUCACGCGUACGCGUGGGCCACGCGUAUGCGUGAGCGUUUUUUUCUUGCUCGCGUACGCGAGAUGCCCAACCCGAAAGGGUUGGUCGUGUCGCGUGUAGUGGUCGCGUACGCAAGACCUGCAGAUUAGCAAAAAUGCUAAAUGCUGCAGAAUUUCAGCCUUACCCUCCGAACUUCCGAUGCACAUAACUUUUUCGUUUUAAAACAUUUUUCAUCCGUUCUUCGAACGGCGUAAACUUCAUGAAAUCAAUUUUCAUUUAAAAUAAUUUGAGAGCCCGGAAUCCAAGUUAUGCCUCAUCAAAGUUUGGCCAAAAACUAAUUUUUCACAAAAUCUUCCAAACCUCUAUUUUCACAAAACACAACUCAUUGUUUACAUGAAUACAACUAAACCCUGCAUCAACAACAUACCAAGCACAGCCACCACAAUCCUCAUUCUACCACAACCAACCUCAUCUGAAUGCAAAUUACUUAUUUUCAAUUAUACCAAUGCAAUUACCAAUCAUUCAACGCUCAUAUAUAUAAUUACCGUUUAUCAUUAACAAAACCCAUAUCCACAAUCAUGAAUCAUUAAUCCCUUCAAACAUCAUCAAAUAUCCACUUAAUGUCCACUAAAAUCACUAGACAUGUUCCAAAGUCAUGAUUCAACUUAUCAUAGGUCAUCUACCUUAAGUUUUCACAAAACAUUAUAUAUUAAAUACGAGAAACCAAAACCAUACCUUAGCCGAUUUUUCGAUAACCCGGAACAUCUCAAGCAUUCCCGAACCACAAGCUCCACAACUCCAGCCCCCCUCACCAACGUACCCAGCCUCCAAAGCUAAUCCUCUAGCUUCCAAUUUCUCAAAUUAAGUCCAACCGAUAACCAAUUUCAAUCUAACAACAUGAUUAUCACUAUAAUCAAUAUAGAGUUCACUAAAUCAACAUCUUACAAAGGGUUGGAGGGUUCUUACCUGACCCACAGCUCAAACAAGCUAAACCCGACAAUACUCGCAGGUUAAUUUGAACCUAAACACCGAAAUUAUACCAAUUGUUCAACAUAACACCUAUUGGAUUUCGAAAUUAGGGGAGAAGAAAUUGAAAUUGGAAAGUGAAUCCCUUACCAAAUUAGUUACUGGGUUUUGUAGAGAAUUUCAAGACGAACGCGUGGCUGUUGACGGCUCGUCAAUCGUAGCUCCGGAUCAAAAGUUACGUUGGAUUGAAAUUCAAGAGCAAGGGUUUGUUCCUCUCCCUUUGCUCUCCACCGUUCUGCACUCUCUAUCUCUCCCUUAUCUAUCCUUGAACCUUAAUGAGCUGAAAGCUCAUGGAGGAUGCUUAAAUAGGUUGGACUUUGGGCUCGGUGUGACUAGUUCGACCCGUUCGACCCAAUCUUGGGUCAAAUUCUUUAGAAUUGUGUCAAAAUUCUUGUUUUAAUUUUUUCUAUCACAUUAAAUUAUCAAAUCCCCUUUUCUAAUCACUUGAUUAAUAAUUAUUUAUUGGUUAGUUAUUUACUAAUUACUCGAAAUUUACAUAAAACAUUAUUUCAAAAAAUAACUAUAGUAAUGUACAUAGUUGACAGAAGGUGACUUAUUUGAGAAGAAAGAAUUAAACACCAAAUUCUAAUAUCUUUUUUACAUAUUGUUAUUUUUUAAUAAAAAAUAUAUUAUUAUCAUUUUGUCCAUUAAAUUUUGUUUAUAAAAUGAAUUAUUUGAGGAUAAAUAGUGUCUAAACAUAUUGGAUACUAAAUUUUAAUAUUAACUUUAAAAUAUAAAACGUUAUUAUUUCAGACUGUUAAUGGCAUUCUUUUAAUUAAAAAAAAAGAAAAAAAAAAUAGUAUUACCAUUUUUCUCCAUUAAAUUUAGUUUAUGAAAUGAAUUAUUCAAGGAUAAAUAGUAUCUAACAAAAGUUGGAGACUAAAUUUUAGUAUUUUCUUUAAAAUAAAACAUUAUUUUAGAGAAAAACGAUACAUAAUUUACAAGUAAUUUUAAGUUAUAGUGGUAAGGAUAAAAUAAGAAAAAAGAAUUAGACACCAAAUUCUCAUUUCUCCUCUAUAUAUUGUUAUAGAUGUUAUAGAUAUACACUCCAAUAUUACUAAUUUAAAGAAUUAUAUAAGUCUAUCNNNNNNNNNNNNNNNNNNNNNNNNNNNNNNNNNNNNNNNNNNNNNNNNNNNNNNNNNNNNNNNNNNNNNNNNNNNNNNNNNNNNNNNNNNNNNNNNNNNNNNNNNNNNNNNNNNNNNNNNNNNNNNNNNNNNNNNNNNNNNNNNNNNNNNNNNNNNNNNNNNNNNNNNNNNNNNNNNNNNNNNNNNNNNNNNNNNNNNNNNNNNNNNNNNNACUAAUAGAAAAGUAAUAGAUCAAAAUUAUACAAGAAAUUAAUGUUUUUUCCUAGGAAAUUAGGCCAAUACCAGGGGCGAUUUAUUAGAAAAUAACAUGAAAUAACCUAAACAAUUACUAAAAUUAUAAAUAGAUGAGAAAUAGAUCAGUUCAGCAAAUAGAAAUACCUCAGUCUCCAAAUGAAAAAUUUUAGGUAACCAAUACUUUUUUUUUAUAUAUAUUUUACCUAGUAUUUGAGUCAACUCUCAUUAUUUUAUCUUUUUUUACUAAAAUUUUAAGAUUUAAUUACUCUGUUGGUUUUUAUAGUUUUGCGAAAUUUUUAAUUAGGUCCUUAUACUUUUUUUUUCUUUUAAUUGGGUCCUUACACCAAAUUUUUUUUUCAAUUAGGUCCCUCUUGACAAUAAUUGACUUAAUUUUAUAGGGACCAACUAAAAAAAAUUAGUACAAAGACCCAAAUGAAAGGAAAAAAAAGUGUAAAGACCCAAUUAAAAAAAAAAUUUGGUGCAAGGACUCAAUCAAAAGGAAAAAAAGUACAAGACCUAAUUAAAAAUUUCGCAAAACUAUAGAGACUAACAGAGUAAUUAAACCAAAUUUUAAAAUUGUUCGCCUAGCCUUCCUCAAUAUUAGUAAUGAGAAUAACAAAAACUAACUAAUGCCAUUAAAAUCUUCAGAAAGAGUUUGCAGUUAUGUUGGUGCAAAUCAACCAUGGCUUGGCUUCUUAAUUAAUUAUCUUCCUUUGGCCUAAAUUCAAUUCCUUCAAUGAUGAGACCACUCUUUAGGACACCAGCCUCAGUUUCCACCACACUCAUUUGAACUUGUUCAUCUUCUGUGCUCGAAACGAAAAACACCCCAAACUCAAUCUCCAACCAGGGAUUACCUCUUAGAUUUGGAAGCUGCCGUACCCCGUCUGAUUCUGGAUCAAGAAUCACAUUCUUGGUGCUAGCCUCACCACCUAGCAUGCCUAUUGAUAACUCCACAGGACAGUGUUGAAAUCCAAUUCUGUCUUCCUCCAUGCUAAACACAAGAUAAGCUGCAUAGUGAGUAUUUGGGGUUAGGACAAGGGUACUCAACACCCCGCGAAUCUCAAGCCACCACACAUGUUCCAGUCGAGCAACUUCUGAGAACCUGUGUAUAUAUUGAAGUUGCAAAAAAUGGUAGAUUUCCAAACAAAGCAGAGUAAUUAUGUUUCAUGGUAAAGUAGUAUGAUUUGACAAAUGAGAAAGUGACAUGUUAGUUAACAUUAAAUGAGUUUGAUCAAUUAAAAAAUAGUACUCUACUUUUCUUUUUAAAUGGUUUAUGGUCAUAUUUCAUCAUGAAAUAUAAAAAUACUAAGACUGUAUUUGGUUAUUGUCUCAAAUUAUGAAGACAUAGACACAAAUACACAAGAGUACAUAAACACAAAAAUUCAGCCUAACAAACACUAAUCUCCAUCAAUCCAAACAAAGAAUGAGCUAUCACCCCAUCCAAGAAAAAGAACACCACAAAUAAACUUAAAUUCCAAAUUCAAUAUUUAUAAAUAAUUUUUUAAUAUCAUCCCAAUUGAAUAAUACAAACAUAUUCAAAAUUUCUAUUAAAAAAAAUUCAAACAAAUACAAAUUAAAUCUGAGAUAGAACAAGGCACAGAGUAGAAGAAAGAAAAGAAAGAGGUAAAGAAGGAUGAAAAGAAGAUGAAGAUGAGGAGAGGUGGAAGAAGGGCAGGAGCGACGAGAAAAGACCAGACCUAUAGUGAGAUCUGUGGUUGCUUCCGCUGUAGAUAUGUAGUUGCUGCCGCUACUAGAGAGAGGAAGAACGAAAUGAGAGAAGGGGGGAGGGGAGGACGCGACGAAGGAGGAGAGCGUCUCCAUCAUUACGGUAGUCGCCGCUACCGCUGUUGAUGCUGACCGAAGGGUGAGGCAAAGGGACCUUCUCCUUAACUGUGAUGCCGCCAAGGAGAAGACGAACAGCGCCGCCAGAGAGAGGAUGGAGGUCAAUGCUGUCGAAGCCCAAAGUCGGGAAACAAUAGUGUACAGAGUAUGGAGGCUAGAAAGAGAGAGGAAAUGAAGAAAUGAUGAAGAAUGGGGAAUUAAGUUAAAGAUGCUACGGAAUUACAAAAAUAUUGAAGGGAUAAAAUUGUAAAAAUUUCAGUGUCUUAAACUAAAAAUUAAUGUCUCAACUAGUUGGAGAGACACAGAAUAUGUUUUUUGUGGAUAUCUCUAUGUAAGCGUGUCUCUUGUUUCUGUGUCUCACAGUCCAAACAAAGAACGCAAUCUAUCAUGUCUCUGUUUUUGGCAUGCACAGACAUCAACCAACCAGUGCCUAAAUGACCAUAGAAAGCACAGCAAAGUAUGUAUGGUUUCAUUUGUUUACAGGCACGGGACACUGAGACAGAGAUACAGAGAUAUAAAAUUAUGUUUGACAAAUGAAACAUGUAUAAAGACAUUGUGUCUAGAGACAUUAAAUUAGUGUAUUUUGUAUCCAUCUUAACAGGAAGGAAACAUAGACAGUAACAAGAGACACAACUUAUUUUUUAUUUUUUCUUUCAUUAUUCUUAUUAAUUUUUCAUAAUUAUAUUUUUUAUUAUUAUAUUUUUCUUCUCAAAUUUUUUAAAUGAAAAAAAAACUUUCAUAAUUUAUUCUAGUUUAUUACCAAACAAAAUACAAGCACACUAACUUUUGUAUAUCUAUUCUUUAUGUCUUAUUCUUCGUGUCUUGUCUUAUUUUGAACAACUAAGAAUUAUAUUGAGAUGCGUCUUUAAAACAGGUAUGAUAAAUUGAGAAUUAAAGAAUUAUAGAGAAUUUGAAGGACAAUUUUACACAGGAAAAAGAUAUAAGAGAAGAAUUCUAAUUCAACAUCACAUAGAUUGUGUAAAUACAUCCCCUCUUCCCUCUAUCUCGAUUACUUUUAAAGACAGAAAUACAAAGAAAUUAUGUCCGAAGACAUCAUCUUGUUCUUCUCUCAAAACACAUUUUUAUGUCUCUAGGUCAUUAGAAGAUAAUACAAUUAUUAAUUGACCCUUCAUACUAAUUCCCAGUUGUUUUUUUCAGGGAUCAGCUUCUAAUUUUUUAAACACCAAAUUGAUGCAUGUGAUUGAUUUUAAGAGACCAUUUUGACCAUUAAUCCAAUUUUUUCCCCUCUACUUGCAAUGGGAUUAAGUUAGGGUCUUUAGGUCCAUUCAUGUUACAUUAUUCAAAAAUAAAAGAAAAAAAUAAAAUCAAAUAAAAUAAGGAAAACAAUUUCAAGGGAUGACCUGGACUCUUCCAAGGGUAUCCAUUCCCAGUAUCGAGGAGUGUCACCCCAAACAAUGGUCAGAGCUCUAGCAGCUAGCAUGUAGCACUUUUUCCCACUCUUUUUGUCCAAUUGAAAGCUCUGCAGUCAAAAUAUUGUGCAUAUUUGGAUAAGUAAAGCUUUUAUUAUAAUUAAAAACGCUUUAUCCCCGUAUUUUUGCUAAACAUAUAGGGGGAUUUCUUUACAAGCAAGAAGCAGUCACAUAUAAAACUGCAACACUCUUUUUAGGUCCAAAUAAUAUCAAAAUUAAGGGUUUGAUUGUGACAAGUGAAAAGCAAAUAGAUCUGAUAGAAAAGGAAAGCCUUAAAAGCUGAAAAGGACACGAGUUAAAAAGAGUGCACCUGUACGGCAACCAGCUUCGUUAAAAACAAGCAAAGGAUUCUUGCGAUAUUUGAACGUAAAAUUAAACACUGAUAUGAUGAAUUGAUGGUAACUUAAUGGAAUUGCAUAUUAGAAUUAAAGGGGGAAAAUGAUUAGGAGUUCCCUGGCUCUAUUGAACAGCAUAGCGAAGAUGACAAAAGGAAGACGAAAUUACCAUUUUGCCCUUGUCGAUGACGGUUGGGCGAUCGGAGAGGGCGAGAUAGAGGGAUUUAUUGGAAGUAGAGAGUGAGAUCAAGGAAGAGUGAGAAUGAGAGUGGGAAACGAGGGAAACGACAUCGGAAGGGAGGAAACGACCCCAGACAUAGUCAGAAUCAGCGGCGGAUUUGAAGAGCUUGGAAACGGCGCAGAGCCUGCAUGCGUCUUUGGGCGUGGUGCGAGCAAUAAUGUUCGCGAUGCAUCCCUCCGGUAACUCCAUUUUUUUUUUUGUCAAGUCGAUUAGUUAGUUGCCAUAGAUAGAUAUUGGUAGUAGUACUCUAAAUUUAUAUGAAAUAAGUUUCUCUAUUAUUUUUUCAUUUUUUAAUACCAAUAAAUACUUUUCAUNNNNNNNNNNNNNNNNNNNNNNNNNNNNNNNNNNNNNNNNNNNNNNNNNNNNNNNNNNNNNNNNNNNNNNNNNNNGUAUAAAUAUUAAGAACAUCAUUUAAUUUUAUUGAAAAUAGAAAUAAUAAAAAAAAAAAGAAAAAUCAAAAUAUGUUUAAUAUUAUGUUUUCAACUAAAUAACUGUUUUGUCCCUAAAAUUUAUUUUGGUAUUCGAAAUUUAAAGUUAUCUAUAAUGAUCUUUUAGAUUUAGGUCUGGACACUAAUUUGGUCUCUUGACCCUUUCUAACAACGACUUAGCAAAUGGAAUAUUGAAGUAAUAUUUUCUUUGCCACACUGGACACUACAACAGCUAAUUGACGCGGCAAAAUUCGUAUUCAUACCCAAUGUGGUCCUUUAAACCCUAAUUUCUUCCAUUAUUUAUCUUGAGUUCGAUUCUUCUCCAACCUCCUUCCUCUUGUUUUUGUAUUCGUCUUUAUCUUCUUGUUAUUGUUGUUUUUUUCCUUGUUGAAGCUUUAUUAUUCGUCGCUAUUAGUUGAGGCACCAAGAUGAGUGGUAGAAGUAAUGCAGCAGGAAGCUUUAUUUGCUCUCCUUCAAGCGGUAACUGGACCAGGUCGCAAAGUCAAAGCAGAAGUGCGAGGGUGUCGAAAUGGUGUGGGUAUGACUGUCGUCCAGUUCUACGAUGGUCUGGAACAGAAUCAAAUCCAAACAAGUUAUUAUUUGGAUGUCCCAAUUAUAAUGUAAGUUAAACAUAUGAUUAUUUUGUGAGUUCUUGUCUGCUUUGUUCAUUUCAUGUUUGGCUGGUUUAUUUCAGAUAAGAAGAAAGACUUGGUGUGGUAUAUUUGUUUAGGUUGAUAUUGGACAAGAUGAAGGUGUUGGGAUAGCAGAUUCUGAUAGAGCCAAUGAUAAAAUGAAUAUGAACCUAGCAUAAAGGGUUGGGAGGUUGGAAAGCGAUGUAAGGAGUAAAAAUUCAUGACCUAUUUGUUAUUGCUAGUUGUGUCUAUGAUGGUGGUGUUUUUGUUAGUCAUAUAUUAUAGAAUUUGAAGAAAAAGUUAUGAGCAAAAAUUCAUGUGUGUUGUAAUAUAAUGUAAUGGAAGGUUUAUUAUGUAAUAAAUAUUUCAAUGAAAUGAAUAGUUUGAUUUAUGCAACUCCUGUGAUUAACACAUGAUUCAACAGCAUUGCAAAAAAGAUAGAUAAACUAACAAAGCUAAUUAUAUUUAAGUAAUUAUCAUAGUUCAACAAAAAAGAUGUAGAAACAAGUAUCAUGAGUAUUAGUUCCAAAAGAUCCAGUGUAAUAUCAAAAUAACCAUAUCUUAAGAGGGUUGGUCUAAGCAGUCAUUGUCUAAAUUUUAACAAAAUAUUAAAGACCUAGUGUCAUAGCCUAAUAUUCAUAACCUCUCUAAAUACAUUAAAUUAAUUUCUUCAAAUCUUCUUCCUUGGUGCUUUAAAACCGAGAGUAGAGACGAACUUUGUAACGACUUAGCCCCAAAGAAAUGUUGCUUUUUCGGGAUCAAACGAAAAUUUUAUGGAUUUUUUAGGAAUUUCAGUGCAUAUAAGUACCUCUACUGCACAGGUGUUGUGCCAUCAAACUGCUGAAUCAGUAGCUUGACUGCAUCAGGCACCUCUCUUGAUCUAAACAGGCACGUCACAAAAAGUUACAUUUUUGAGCCACUUCAGGUCCAAAUUUCAAAAUUCUGAUUUCUGUGGUUAGUUUCUAUGUGAUGAGCCGAUCUUGAAUUUUGAGAGAAAAAUUAUAUUAAUAUAAUAUUUAUAUAUUAUUAUUUUAUUCAGAAUGUUAUAUUAUUAUUUUUUCUACUAUAAUUAAUGUUGAUCUAUGUUUAGUAAUACAAUAACUGAGUUAGAAAUCUACCGGUAAUGGAUAAUACCUGCAUUCUUAGAUGAACUUAGCGAUGCUAAUGCUUUAUCAUAUAUCUUUUAUUCUCAUGAUUAUCUUGUUACUAGUAUCAUUUAUAUUAGUAAAGCUCAUACUUAUCCUUUAGUAGUAUAAUCUAACAUAUCUAGUUUUAGUAAUUAUCUUCAGAAUGAUCUUUUUUUAUUAAAUUUUGAUGAGUCAUCACCUUAUAACAUAUGGCACUCUCAGAACCAGCCACCACAUGCUUCAUUUCUUAUUCUCCAAGCAAAGGUUUCUUAAGGGAAAAAUAAAAAACACUUGUGUUCUAAUACAUCUAACUUUAGUAAUUAUACUUUCAUAAGAUAUUUUUAUAAAAAAAAUCUAGGAUAAACUCUAUCCUAACCCCACGGCUCCUAAGCUCAUUAUUACCAUCAUUCUUGCUUCCAAGACAAGUUAGAAUUCAUGAGAGAAAACGGAAGAACUUCCAUGAAAGCUUCAAACUUCAACCUCCGUUCUUUCUCAAACUAAAAUCCCUAUCAAAAAUCUAAUCUGACCAAACUAUUCACCUCUUCCUCUUCUUCAUUUCUAUGUCAAUUUUCAUGGAGUAAAUCAAGGUAUGAUGGCUGCUCCUCCCUCCUCUAAGUUUUGGCUAUGGUGAGAAGUCAAGAUAACCAUGUUUUUUUCAUGUUUUCUCUUAGGAUCUCUUGUUCACUCACCAUAAGCUCUAAGAAAACGUGAUUUCUAGCUGCCUUGAGGUAAAAAAAUCUUUCUUUUCAUCAUCGUGAAGCUUCAUUCUUCAUGGUUUAUAUAGUUCUAAAGUUAUUUUUUAUGUUAAAAUAUGCGUAAAAGUGCUUUUUGAAGUUUGUUCUUGGUUCAACUUUUGACAGCUGCAAAAGAGAUAAAGUUUGAUAAAUUAAUCAAUGAUUGGUUGUAUUCUUGAAGUGUAAAAUCAGAUUUUGUUCCUUUAGGCUUGAUUUUGAGUGUUUAUGUGAUGUUUUGAUCAUGAGAUCUUGUUGUUUUAAUGCUUGAAAAUCAAGUUAUUGAAGGUUGUGAAGUUGUUGUUGUUGAUGCUGAAAAACGUGGCAUUACAGCCAUGAUUUUCAAGAGAUUUGAUGUGUGUUUGAUGUGUAUUUGAUGGCUGAAACGUUGCUCUUUGGUUUGGUGAAAAUCAAGUAAAAAUCGGUUAUCGAAAAGAUUGAAAAACUAGCUGAAAAUCAGAUAAAAAUAUGAUGAAUUUUUGAAAAAAAAAAUGAUUUUGGUUGUUGAAAGACAAGAAGAACAUUUGGUUUUGUGGAUUUUGGGGUCAAAUCAUAAUUAUUGAAAAGUUUGGGGUUUAAAGUUAAUUAAAAAAAGUUGAGGGGCUAAGGUGCAAAUAUUAAAAGUUAAGGAAGUCAAAAUACAAUUUUCAAAAAGUUCAGGGGUCAAAAUAUAAUUUUUGAAAGUUGAAUAAAAUAUUAUUAUUUUAAUAAUAAAAUAUUAUUAUUUUAAUAAUAAAAUAUUGAUAAAAAGACAGUUUUCUCUGAAAGCCUCAGGAAGGCAGAUUUGAGUCCAGAAUUCUCUAAUUUCCUGGUAUAAGAGAAGUUAUUAAGGUAUGUAAGGUAAUGGAAAAGAAUUUAGAAACUUAAAAUUUGAAAAUAUAUUAGGAAGAAAAGGAGUUAAAAGCUAUAUAGUAGUGUGCUUAACCUUACAGAGUAACCAGAGAAUUAUGAAAUGAGAUCACUGAGAUGUUGUGAUGCUUGAUAUAUGAUUGUGGAAAGAUGAUAAAGAUGAUUGCUAAGUGACGGAAAGUAUGGUUAUAUGUGAUUUAUGAGCCUUCGGGCGAUGCUUGAGAAUAUUGUGUGGAGACGCACCGUAUUGUGCUGUUGCUUCCCAGACAGGCUGCGGUAAAGAGAGUACCAGCCCUGCAAGCUGAAUGCUUGAUAGAGGCCUGACUAGCAUACCUACGGUAUAUUGAGAUUUGAGCAAAUACCAACCUUGCAAGUUGAGAGUACUUGGUAGAGAGUAUGUGGUACUUAAUCUGGGAUUUAGUUCUGGGAAGGCCUUAUCUGACCUAGAGGGUCGGAUUGCGUCGGGUGCGGGUUAAAACCGACAAAUGAGCUCAUUACCUGCAGUAGGACCAGACAUGCAUCAUACUUGUUGCACAUAGCUGUGUGACUGCAUAUUGAGUGUGAUUGUGCAUAUGUCUCUUGUUUCUUCUGCUAUUUGUGUUUUGGCUAUACUGUUGUUAUGUAUAUAUAUUUUUGUCUGAACUUAAUUAUGGUUAUGUGGUCACGGACGUUAUAAAUGAACUUAACUCUAAACCCCGACCUUACUAAGAACUCCCCAGUUCUUACCCCUUACACCUCUUCAGAUGGACACGGGAGUCCUGCUCUACGAGAUUAAUCAUCCGUAUAUCCACGACGACCUAGUGCGCGCCUGCGAGUAUUACAUCUAUCGUACGGCACCUUGUGUAUGAAAUUAUGUAGUACGUGGUAGACCUUUUCAGCAUCUUAUUAGUACACCUUUUUUUGAAUCUCGAUGUACCCUAUAACUUUUCUCCUUCUUGGAUGCAACCUGAGGAGGACCCCGAGAUCGUAGAUAUCUCUUGUGGCAGUAAUGAGCCAGAUGAGUCACCAGCGAGUGAGAAUCAUCACCUGCCCAAUGAUUUUCUGUGAGGGGCUUUUGGAUCAGAAACAGUACGUUAGAGUGUUUCCCUCACUUUUGCUAGUAUGCUCAGAGAGAAUAGGCAUGUCGUAGAGUUAGGCUAGCUUGGGUGCCAGUUUAGGGGCUUUUUGGACGGGUCUGGCCCUGAGGCGUCUUAUGUACAUAUAUGUAUAUAUUAUAUAAGUGACUAACUAAGGAAUGCUAUAUCAUAAUUCUGUACUUGUAUGAUUGAACUACUUUUGUUUCAUGAUAUAUAUUAUAUUGUGAUGUUUUAUAUAUUGCCUUCUAUUAAUCUAUGAUUGCGUAUGCUUAUAUUUUCUUAUAUAUUAUAUGUAUGCGACCCUAAAUUACUAUUGUUUUAAAGAAAAAAAUACUCGAAAACUCGCGAGGUGUUAACAAUGAACAGACUUAUAUUUAUUAAAUAUUACUUAAGUUGGGAAAAACGAGUUGGUAACGUUCAGCUUCUAGUAUGAUCAUGACAUGCUGGGAGUUGGGCCGUUACAAACUUCAUGAUUUUUGCCAUUCUUAAUGCUAUUCCUGAGCUACCACCCUACAACGGAUUGAUUGUGGCAAAACUUGGCGAUGGAGAACUUUUUCUUCUUAUCAGUAACGUUGUAGGCCGUAUGUUUUCAGCAGCCUAUAUGGUGUAAAACAUUAUGUUUCAAGGUCAGAAUACUGUAAUAGCUUAUGACAUAAUAAUAUCAUGUACAUCUUUAUCUUCUAAGAGUCGUCUAGUUCAGAGUAGGUAGGUUGAGACAACUCAAUUUCGACCAGUUGGACAUUGGUGGCUGUUGUAGUAACAGGUGAUUCAUCAAUUGGUGAUACAUUUUCUCCUUCCACUUCUUUAUUGGUUCCAUCAGAGGUAGCAAUACAUGUUUAAUUUGUUGGUUGUGCACUUUUUUCUUCACCCUCUUUCUUUUUUACAGCAACCUCAGCAAUAGCAGCAGCAUCAGCCAAUCUCUUCUUUUUGCAACCCCUCUUAGUGUGACCCUUAUUGUAAGAUUUCGAAUUUUCAAAAAUUAAAUAACGAGUUAUUUGUAAUUUAUUAUAUUUAUUCAUAAUUUUAUUUUUAGAAAAUUAUUUUACAAAAAGUAAUUAAAUCAAAGUUAUGAAGGUUGUCUUACAUGAUAUAUCAUGGCUUGUGGCUGUCAUUAGGGUUGCUGUUGCAAUUUACACUUUUCUUGUUUGUAAUGAUGAUAUAUAGGUAAGUGGCAAUUUGAGUGUAAGAUCUAGGCAUAAAUUGGGUGCAAAUUGAGGCACUAUAUGCUAGUAAAUAGGGGUGUUCGCGGUGCGGUUUGGUUCGGUUCGGUUAUUUAGGAAAAAACCAUUCGAUCCGAUCGUUUAUUAAAUUUGCGGUUCGGUUUGGUUCAGUUUUUUUGCUGAGACCAUCCAAACCAAUUAAAAUCGAUUUGGUUUGGUUCGGUUUAUUCGGUUUUUUUAAUUAUUCAAAAAGAUUUUAAAUAAACAAAAAAAUAAAAAAAAAACUACAUUUAACAGAGACCAAACCCUAAAUUCAUUAUAAGAUACAAAUGUCCCAAUUUCACAUACCCUAGCCUCAAUUUCACAAACCCUAGAAUCUAACUCGAUCCAAAUUUAUCAAUUACAGAAUUCAAACCCUAAACCUAAUCCUAAUUUUACAUUAACAGAAUUCAACCCAUAGCAAUUUCAUCAAUCAAAAAUCAAAACAUGUAUUAAAAUCAUUGACAACGGAGGAACAGAGGUAGACCAGAGGCAGAGGUGGUGGUGAAGCUGUGAGCACUGAGCAGGACGCAGUGAGCAACAAACUGCAUAAUUAUGCAAUUCACAAAAUCACAAAAACAGAAUUAAAGAUCACCUGUAAAAACAAAAUCAUAGAAAAACAAAAUGAGCAAUCAAAAUAAAAUCAUAGAAAAAUAGAUGCAGAAGCACAAAAAGCAAAAUCACUAACAGAAUCAUAAAACAGAAUUAAAAAUAAAAAAUAUAAACACAGAAUCAUAGAAAAAUAGAGGCAGAAGCACAACAAAAUAAAAUCACCAACAGAAUAAUAAAAACAAAAAUUGAAUACCUAACUUGGAGGCAAUGUCAUGGACGACGACGGCGCCUGCUUGUGCGUGGAGGAGACGGUGGCUCCAGUGCAAGGAGGCUAGAGAGACACGGCGUAGAGGAGACAGCGGCUGCAGUGCAUUGAAGACGACGAACGAAGGGAGAAAAAGAGCCGCACCGAGGAAGGGAGGGACUGAGGGAGGACCGCGCUGAGAAGAUGGAACCACGACGAGGAAGGGCCGCCGCGAAGGUGCUGUCCGCGAUUCCAGGGGCUGAGAGGACGACGACUUUGUGAACGGUGGGAAGAGAGUGUGGAGAAUGGGGAGUGGAGAGAGUUAGGGAAUAGGGGCUUUAUACGGUGAAUGGCGGCUAGGUCAUCUAAAGGGAAGGGGGUUUCACUUAUUUAUACUAGGGUUUUUAAAUAAACCGAUUCGGUUUGGUUUGGUUAGGGUUUUCACUAACAAAAUCAAAAACCAAACCGAACUGCAAAAAAAUAGCAAAAAAUCAUUUUUUUCGGUUUUUUUGAUUUUCAGUUUAUUCGGUUUUCGGUUUUUCGGCUCGGUUGAUCGGUUUUGUUUGGUUUGGAUCGAUUUUGAACACCCCUACUAGUGAACAUCGAUGUCAUGUUUGAAUAGAAUGAGUUGUUAGCAUCUUAUUUCAUCUUUAUUGAACUUGAUUAUGAGUAAUUACUAUAUUUAGCUAUCAAAUAAAGCAUCAUAAAGUUCAGUAAUUACUAAUAUAAUUAGCAUCAGGAGGUAAUAAUAGAAUGCAUAAGUCAACAAUAAAUGAUGCAUAAUUAUGAAGCUUGAGGGAGUCACAACAUCACCACCUUCUUUACUUAUAGUUGCCUCUUUUGAAACUUGAUCAUCCUCUUCAAUAACUUUUGGGCUUUUGGCAAGCAGAUUGGGUGUUCAAUGUACACACAGACCCUACUUCCAUUCCUCAAUGCAACUUUAUACAACUAUAUUAUGUCCUUAGACCACCAUCAACCUCCAUUCCAGGUACUAAUCAAUAGCGUUCGCUGACCAAAGUGUAUCCAAUAUAUCUAUGGAGAUCAAUAAUAAAAAAUUUAUUCAAAGUGUCAACAUUAAUCCUUGGAAUUUCAGAUUUCUCACCACCUUCAUACACGAUUUUUACAUCCUUUGUUCUCUCAAAUUUUUCUCUAUGAUAUAUCUCUAAAGUAAUAUGCAAUGUAGCUAUCUCUGUAACACAAUAAAAGGUCUAACAUUAGUGGCCAUCUCACAAACUAUGAACUAGUGAAAUUCUAACUCUGUAAAUUCACCAUGAUUAUGGUUUCAGACACAAUAAACACAACAAUAUUCCAGCCACAAAAUAAUAUUUAGCUUAAAUAAAAGGAUCAAAUAGGAUUCAGUUACUGAAAAACUAAACCCUACCAAAAAUUCAUUAACAAUAAUAAUUCAAUCUUUGAUAUGCGACAAAAAAUUCUAACAAAUUAGAGGUUACAAGGAAUCAAUAAUUUUGGUUGUGAAAGGAUUACCUCUUCAAUGACUUUGACUGUGAGAUCACUCUCGUACAGAGUCUCCUGAAGCAACUGCAACUAAAAACUACUCUGUUAUGACAUGGUUGAGUUUCGCGCUCAAGAGGUGAUGCCUACUAUUCUGUGCUUAACUGGAAUUUGAAGGGGUUACUAAUUUUUUAUUAUUUAAAUAAAUACAAUAUACAUAAAAAAAAUAAUAAAUGAUCCACUUAAGAAAGCUCUCUUGCCAUGUUAGGAUGGAAAUGAACACGUGAGACAUGAGAGGGAAAUAGAUCCUCUCCAUUUUUUUAAUACUUGAGAAAAUAAAGUGUGAUCUCUCACCUUUUAUUCUAUAAGUGGGACCAAAAUUAAAUAGGAGAGAGAGAAAAAGCAAUGAAGGGUGAAAUCCUACACCGGACACCAUCUAGUUUUUUUUUUUCACUGGAGAGGAUCCACUCCCUAUAAACAAAGCCUUCUAACGUUUUGGUCAUAUUUGACAAAUGGAACUAUAUAACUGUGGAUAUUUGGGUGUUGUUUUCUAAAUUUAUGGGUACUCUUAUAAGCAAAUACAUCUUUUAUGGGUACUUUUGGUAGUUUAAUCUAAAUUUUGAUAUCAUAAUUUAGAAUAAAUCUCAAUUUUAAAAUUUUUAUUAAAUUAGACAAUUUUAUAAUUUUAAUUAUAUUAUAAUUUUAUUUUUGUGUAUUUAAUUUAUGGAUAAUAUAUAUUUUUUGUUUUUAAAGUCUGUCAAAAUUUUUAAAAAUAUUCCUAAAUUUUUUUUUGUUUCAAUUUUGUCUUUGGAAUUUUCGAUUUGUAUCAAAUAUAUCCUUGACAGCUAAAUUUUCAAAAAGUUUAGGACCAAUACAGUAAAAAUGUAUGACAACUAUGUUUGAUUUGCAUGUGUUGAAGGUUGUUAUUGUAAAAUUGUUGCUAAAUUGAUUCUAAAUUUUUUGAAGAAUUAACCACUAUGGAUAUUGAGUUUGAAAAAUAAAUAACAUAUUGAUGAUGACAAACAUGUUGAUUUAGGUUAAUAACCCAAGUGGAUUUUUGAUGAUAUAAUUCAAAGUAUGCACGCUCAAAUUGUCUUUAUUGCAGCCUAAACCAAUGAAACCAAAAGCUUCUAAGGGUAAAGAAUGAAAUUGAAUCAAACCAAGCCCAAUGCUAAUCAAGUCAAAGGGAAGCAACCCUAAGCUAAGGCGAAGUAAACACUAGAAGAGAGGGAGCUUCACUUUUGUAUUCAAACACCAAAGAAGAAGAAAGGAAAAGCUAAUCAAGAAAGCUAAUGUCAAAUCAAGUUAAUCAAAAGCAUGUUAAGCAAGUUCAGAGGUUAAAGGUAAUUUAUUUCCAUUUGCAUGCAAGUCAAUUACUUCGCAUUUUUUUCUUUUUUCUGCACCACCAUUUUGGACAAGAUGAAGAAAGUGGUGGCUGAAUUUUCUCCGCUGUAAAUCAAUGGCUUACAUCGUUUCUUGGAGUCAAAGCACAAUUUUAAGGGUGUGAAUUUGGGAACCUCACUGAACAAACAAUUUGCUGCUGCAAUCAUCUCUUCGAUUAAGCCCAAAUCAGAUUUCAAAUUCCUAAUUUUGUGGUCUGAAUUAAGAAAAAGAUAAAAGGGAUUACAGUUAGUUCAAGGACUAAGAAGUUGACCUUUGUAAAAAAAAAUCCUAGCCAUAGCUCAAAGAAGAUACAAAAAGAAAAAAUAUUUUCAUUUUAAAGACAAGGAUAGAGAACCCGAAUUGGAGAGUAGAGUGAAAUCUCACAACAGAGUUUGAAGUCUUGGAAGCAUUGCACCUACACUAAAGGGAGCACUCUACCAAGAUGAAGAACAACGUUUUGAGUUCAGAAGUUGGGUCAGCGCAUAGAGUCAAGACUGUGAAUCAUCAUCUCCUCCACAGUUUACUGUUUGUAUUUCUGUUUCAAUGUUAUAUCUUUCUUUGUAUUCAUGCAGAGAUAAAAAGCAAGAAAGAGAGGCAUUGAGAAAAAGUCAUUGAGAGAAAAGACGGAGAGAAAUACUUGGAGAGAAAAGCCAAGAGUGAUUUCGGAUUUCUUUUGGUUGUAUUUCUAUUUUCUGUCAUGUACUUGAAAGGUAUCCCUUGCUAAGUUGGGUAAGCACAUAAUAUGUUGAGUCUCGGUAGUUACAUAGCCAAGUUAAGUUUAUGUUGAAGCUUGAUGCGUCUCUGAUAGGAUUAUGUUGAGUUCAUAAAAAUUGGUGUAUGUAAUACUUGGAAAGAUAGUAAAAAUUCUACCAACAUUGUAGUAGAGACUGGAUGUAAAUUGCAUUGCACUAGACAACUGAACUAUGAUACAUGGCUAUAUUAUCUUCUUCUUCCCUAGCCAAAUUAUAAGUUCUGGUUUGAGGCUUUGUUAAUCAAGUUAAAAGAAGGCCAUAGCCUAUAAAUUCAACCCCCUCUUUAGGCCAUCAAGAACUUUUAGGUAUAUUUGAUGCAAAUAAAAAAUUUUUGAAAAAAAUUAAAAUAAAAUAAAAUUUAAGAAUAUUUUAAAAAUUUUUAACAAACUUCAAAAACAAAAAAUAUAUUUUAUUCUUAAUUUAUUUUUUUAAUUUUACAUAAAAUCUCAAUUUUUAAUUUUUUUUGUUACUACAAUUUGAUUUCAAAUUAAAGAGAAUUAGAAUAUUCUCUCUCUUUCUUUUUUUUUUCUAUAUAUCUAUAACAAUAUAUAAUGUGAGUACAUGGAGUUUAAUAUCCAAUUUUCUUUCCUAUUUUAACCCUGCAAACAUAAUUUAAAACUAACUUUGCAAACGGUUACAAAAAAUUUAGGCAUAAUUUCUUCCUCAAUCUUCACUCAAAUAAUCUACUUUUUUUUUAAUUUUUUACUAUUUCUCUAAUUUUAUUUACUUCUCUUAUUCAACUCUAACAUUUUCAAUUUUUGAAUAACUUUUUAGAUAACUUCUUAAAAUAGAUGAUGACCAUGUCAAAUGUUAAUUUUCGAGCCAGGUAUGAAAAGAAGAAAAGAAUAAUUAUGAUGAAAGGAAGUGUUUAAUCAUCAUCAAUAGUUAUAAGUAAUUUUUGAUAGAUCUUAUUAUAUUUUGAGAUAUUCAAUUAAAUUAUAUUUUGUUUAAUUUUAUGUUAAUUUUAGUUUGUACCGUUUUGUUGUGAGUAUAUUGUACUUCUGAUCAGCAGUUUGGUUUCGCUCUAAUUAUUCCAUUAGAGGUUUUGUUGUAAUUUCUUAAAAAACAUUACCAUUUUUGUAUUUCUAUUGAUGUCUCUUUUCUCCUUCCUUCAACACACUCUGUUAGUCCUUUACCUUGCUUUGCUGCGGUUAUAAAUUUUCUUUUUCUUCAAUUUACUUAUUUGAUCUAUAUUUUCAGUUAUUUCUCAAAUAUUUUAAUUUAUUUUCAAUUUUUCACGUAGAAAAAUAGCAUUAUAUCUUUUUCUCGCAUCAAUUUGAUUUAGCAAGAAAAAAAUUUCUUUAUAUCUGAAUAUGUAUUUUUUAUUUAUUUUUUUAACAUAUCUUUAUUUAAUUAUUUAUCNNNNNNNNNNNNNNNNNNNNNNNNNNNNNNNNNUAAGUUUUAAUUUAUUAUCUUUUUAUAUAUCUUUUAUUUUUUGAAUUAUUUUAUUUUAUUAGGUAUUUUAUUUUAUUUUAUUUUAUUACUUUAAAAAUUUUAAGGUCUAAAAAUCUCUUAUUUAAACGAUUCCAACUAUAUAAUUAAAAAGUGGUUCAAGAGAAUAGGUUUAAACUUGGACAAUUUAAUAUUUACUAAUGGAUAACUAUUAGAAGAGAAAAAUUAUUGCAUAAAUAAUAAAAAUGAGUUGAUAAUAUAUAGACUAAUUUGAACAAUAAAAAAAAAGUAAAAUAAGUAACAAAAAUAAGAUAUAGAAUUUUAUUUUUUAUUAUAUGGUACAAAGAUAAUAUACAAUAUAAUAAAUCAUAAUCUUCUCAUAUAUAAGAACGUGAAACUUAAUAUUACUAUUUUAUAUUGUUAUAGAUUUUUGUCCUUAAAAAAAAUUAAUCUCAUUUAAUUUUAAUUUUAAACUUUUAGGAUAAAUAAAAAUACAUGACAUUUUAUAUAUUAAAUAAUUUAAAAGAUACUUAUUAUAUAAGAAAUUAAAAAUAUUCUUACCUAAAAAAAUAUUUCAUAACAAAAUUGAGUUUGGAGAGAGAGAAAGAGAGAGAUAAAAAUUUCUAACUAAUUACAAAAAAUCAGAGCCAUCAACCUAUUAAAUGAGUAAUAUCAAAUGAGGAUUAAAAAAGAAACUACAACGAUGAAUUUAAAAAUUUUUUGUUUCUCUCUAUGUAGUGUUUCACUUUAAGUAACUAGUUUUUAUGGAUAAUAAUCAAAUGACAAAUAAAAUAGUAAGAAGAUUCACAUUAAAUUAUGAAAAUUCAUCUCACCUUUAUAAUACGAUGACAUUAUUUUAAAAUAUGCAAAACAAAAUAAUAAAGUACAGUUUAAUUAAUGUGCACAAUAAAAUAAACAUGAAACUUAUAUAAUAGUAGUCAAAUGUGGAUAGUAAUAAUUGCCUUUUGUCUAAGGUACUAUAUUAAACUGCGACUUCAAUUUAUAAUUAUUAAUUAAAAAGCUUAUAUUAUUUUUUAUUAUUUAGUUAAAAAUAAUAUAUUUUGAUAUUAUCUUUUAGAAUUAUUGACAUCAAAUUUUAAUAAUAUAGUAAAAAUUUUGAAUAUUUUUUGUCUUAAAUUUCUUCUUAAUAGAACAAAAUAAGACAACUAACAGGCACAUAAAAAAAAUUAUAAUUUUUAUACAUUUAGAUAUUGAAAAGACACAAAAAUAAUUUCUUUAACAAAACUUCAACAACUCAUAAAAGUUAAUAGAAUAUUUGGUUAUAAAUCAAGGUGAUAGACAAAAUUAAAAGUUGUGAUAAUGAUAUUUGGUGAUAAUUAAUAACUAUCGGGUGAAGAGAAUAUGGAAGGAGAAGAAGACGAAAAAGGAGAACAAUGCAAUAUCACAGUGGCAUUAAGGCAAUAAUAAAAAUAUAAAUUAACAAUUUUAAAAAAAUAAUAAAAUUAAAGAUAAUUUUAAAAAUUAAAUAAUAAAAUUAAAAAAAUAUUUUUAUCAAUUAGAAUUAUACAUAAAAUUAAAUUCUUUGAAUANNNNNNNNNNNNNNNNNNNNNNACUUUUAUGUUUAAUUAUUAAAAUAUAUUUUCUUAUAAUUUUAUGUUAUUUACCGUUAGAUUCUUACAGAUUAAUCUUUAAUUACGUUAUACGAAUUAAUUAAAUUUUGUGAUCAAAAUAAAUCUGUAAUAAUGCUGCUUACGUAUAUACAUAUUUUUUUUAGUGAAAUAAGCUUUUGUAUUUAACCUUACAAAAUUAGAUAAAGGCCUAUUAAGUUAUAGUAGAUAUCUAAUUGAAAAUUGAAAUAAACUAAGUAUUACGGUGUAAUUAUACACCUAACUUUUAUAUACUAAUACCACAAGACCUGCAUCAUAUAUAUGUGUUAAAAAAAAUCAAAUUUAUUAAUAUUUAUCUUUUAAAAUAAUAAUUAAUUAAUAAUAAUAACACAAAAUUUAUUUAUGAAGAAUCACUUUAUCACAAAUAAUAAACAAAUAAUACUAUAUAUAUUUUCAACUUGAACAUCACAAUUAAACAAAUCUUCGGGGUACACACUAGUCCAAAUUGAGGAAUUGAGCCACCUCUUAUAAGUAGUAAUAACAGUUUCUUGGAUGUGCCCGACUGUUAAAACGUUUUUGCAUUUGGAUUUACAAACGUGCACAACAUUAAUUUACAUAUUGCAGAAUGCAUAUAUAUUUGACUUAUGUUACUCUAGUAGUAGUGUAUAUAUGCUAAUUUAAGCGUCAAAUAUACUGGACCACAAAGGAUUUUUUUUCUUCUUUGAUACUACUAAUUAAUUGCACAAAUUAAAGGGUCCAUUAAUUUUGAUUAGAAAAUAGGUUUACAUUUUGAAAAAUAAUUUUUUAAGAUGGCAAUUGCAUAAUUUAAUUAUUUUGUAGCGAAAUACUCAACUAUAACUAUUAGCACACAAUCAAAUUUUUACUUGUGUUUUUUUUUUUUUUAAACAAAGAAGCUCAACACAAAAAUAGAAUAAAAAUACAGAGAAACAAAAACUAACCAACAUUAACUGUAACCACCUAGUAACUUACUAAGCAAUAACAUGUUUGUCAUCUUCAAUAUUGUCAUUAAUAAUAAAAGGGAUCCUUACACCGCCACUCCUAGUAACUAAGACUAGACAUAUUAAUAAUCUCUUCUACGGUUCUACCCCCUUGCUAAAAGUGCCACCUAUCAAAAUGAAAUAACAAUGCGCACCACACCUGCCAAGUAAAUUCACAUCCAAAAAAUAAGUGAUGAACAUAUUCACAAUCUUUUUUUUUUUUGUAUUCACCCUGCCUAUCAAGACAAUGUAGGGGUUAACCGUGGGGAGCUUUCGACCACCGGGGAGAUUUCGGGAAGGAAUCAAGUGAGAGAACAUAAGAUGAGAAGACACCACAUCCAACUCAAAACCUUAAGGUUUCAAGUUAAUUGGUCUAUCAUCUUAUAAACUCCUCACUCUUCCUUACUUUCUUUGAUGUGGGACUAACUUCAUGUACUCCUCACACUUGCAACACUAACAAUCUCCCCCUCGAGUGUGAGCCUCCACAUCAAGCAUCAACUCCCUUCUAGCUCUUCCACAUAUGAGAAUUCGUCCAUCACACCGCCACAAAACACCGCGGGACACGCCGUUCGGACCACCUUUGCUGAGAAGACUGAUAAACCACUAUUUUGUGAUUUAUCUUGUGCUCAAUUGAGUGGUUUUUAUCUACUCUUUACCCACUUAUUCAUACUAUUUGCAUGGUUUUAUAUUUGCCUUCCUAAUUAUGUGCUUUGAUUGAAAACAUGCUUCUUUGAUCUUAUAUUUGCUUAUUAUUAAUCCUCUCUUAUUACCAUUAGAUGCCUUGAUAUGUGUGUUAAGUGUUUUCAGAUAUUAUAAGGCAGGAAUGGCGUGGAGGAUGGGAAGAAAGCAUGCAAAAGUGGAAGGAAUGCAAGAAGUUGGAGAAAUUGCUAAGCUGUCCAGUCUGACCUCUCUGCACUCAAACGAUUAUAACUUUAGCUACAGAGGUCCAAACGACGCGGUUUCAGUUGCGUUGGAAAGCUAAUGUCCGGGGCUUCGAUUUGAUAUAUAAUAUGCUAUAGUUCCCCUAACACUAGGCGACGCGACCGCGUGAUCCAUGUGGCCGCGUCGCAGUGACGGAAAUCCAGCGUGGCAAAAUUCAAAACCAGCGAAUUCUGGACUGUUUUUGACCCAGUUUGCGGUCCAAAAAACACAGAUUAGAGGCUAUAAAGUGGGGGAAUGCAUCCAUUCAUGGGGAGGCUCUGAUAAUUCAUAAUUAGGAGUAGAUGUAGUUUUUAGAGAGAGAGGUUCUCUCCUCUCUCUUAGGAUUAGGAUUUAGGAUUUCUCUUAAUUUUAGGAGUAACUCUCGAUCCAGGUUUAAUAUUCCUUUUACUUUUAAUUUCUCUUUUACUUUCAGAUACUCUCAUGCUUUUAUUUGUAUCUGAUUUAUGUUGCCCAAUUGGCUUAUGAACUUUUCCAUGUUAGAUUUUCCUACUUUGAAUGUAUUUUAUUCGAGGUAUUCUCAGAUUUAAUUUUGCUUUGCUUUAUUUAUAUUGAUGCUUUUUAAUUUAGAUAUUUUCUUCCUUUUGGAAAACUCAUUGUUGAUUGAAAAUUUGAUUUCUUCAUUUCAUUAAUUCAAAUUCCAAUAACUCUAGUCUUUCCCAAAGAAAGACUAGGACCUGAGGAAUAAAAAUUAAUUCAUCCACUUAACUUACCUUCAUAGUUAGAGGUUAACAAAGUGGGAGAAAAAUCCAAUUCUCAUUACAAUUGAUAAGGAUAGGAUCUCCAGUUCUAAUACCUUGCCAAGAGUUUAUUUUUAUUAUUAUUAUUAUUUUAUUUUACUUGUCAUAUAACAUAUUCCCACCUUACUUCCAAAACCCCAAUUUACAAACUCAUAACCAAUAAUAAGAACAUACUUCCCUGCAAUUCCUUGAGAAGACGACCCGAGGUUUAAAAUAUUCGGUUAUCAAUUUCAAAGGGGUUUGUUACUUGUGACACCCAAAACUUUUGUACGAAGGGAUUUCUGUCGGUUUAGAGACUAUAUCUACAACGCGACUGUUUUUAUGACAUUCUUUACUGGCAAAAAUCCUAACGUCAAAAUGCCGCCGUUGCCGGGGAAUUGCAAACGUGUGCCUUAUUAUUGGUUAUUGUAAAUAUUUUUUUGAUUUUUGCUUGUUUAUUUGUUUUUAUUUUUGUUUUUAUUUUUGCUUUUUCAUAAAUUAAGAGGUUAUUCGUUUUUAUUUAGUUAAUAAAAAAUUUUUUUUUCAAAAAUUUGUUCUUAGUGACAUCUUGAUCUUCAAGUUGUUCUUCGCGUUCAUCUUGACCUUCAAGCUGUUCUUAGUUGUUUUCUUUGUUUUGAUCUAAAAAUUUGAAAUUUGGUGUCAUUUUAUUGUUUUUCUCUUUCCUCAUUAAAUUCAAAAUUAUUUUUAAUUAAUUUUUUUCGAAAAAAAAAAUUUCAGAUUUUUAUUUUUAAAAUUUUUAUCUUAUCUUAUCUUAUUUCAAAAAUCAAAUUUCAAAAUAUUCAAAAUUCAAAAUUUAAUUUUCAAAUUCAAAAUUUAAAUAACCUUACUAUCAACAACCACCACCAUAUGCCUAUGAACCCUUUCCUCAACACAACUUUGAACUACCACACUCACAAGCCAACUACCACCAUUCACCUCCAUAUGACCCUAACCCUCAACCACCAUACCAACCACCUUAUGAGCCAUAUGAACCAUAUAUAGAACCACCCCAAUUCCAAUCCACUCACUCCCAACCACCACCACUUCUCUAUGUGUCCUGUCCAAAUCCGGCAACCCGAGAAGCAGAGGUUCGCCUAAAAAAAAUAGUGGAUCGAUUUCAGGCAACCAUUCAUCAAUUGGGGCAAGCAAUAAUGAGUCAAUUAGCUUCCCGACGUUCGGACACUCAAGGAAUCCCCAUGGCUUCAUGUGGACAAUCUAAUGAAGAACGUAGUAUGAAAGAAAUACUAGAAACUUCAGUGAACAGUACGGAGCAUGACUUUGUACUGGAACAAGUAGAGGAAGCCGGAAUUAUUGAAGAAGAAGAAGUGGUUGAAGACUUAGGAGAUUCAGAACCUCCAUGGGAAAGUCCAAUCAUAGAACCUCUUUCCAAGACGGUUGAAUUUGAUGCUGAGGAGGGUGUACAACCUCCAAGGCAUAUCACAGUUGAAGACUUGGAAGAGGUUGAUCAAGUGAUGGAGAUUCAACAAGAAGAAGCACAGCCUCCUAUGCCCUUGGAUAGCAAUGAAGAGGAGAUUCAAUUGGAAGAAAGCUACCAAGAGGAAGAUGUUGAAAUUGAAGAAGCUUGCAAAGAGGUGGUAGUUAUCAGAAAAGAGCACAAGGGAGUGGAGCUUGCAAUUUCAUUAAAAAUACCUCCCCCUAAGUUGCCAUCAUCCUUCACAACAUUCAAGUGGGUAAAAUUCAUAUCCCUUAGCUUCCUAAUUCCACUUGAAUAUGGGCUACUGGAGACGGAUGGUCAACUUAGAGCUCUUUGUGGCAUUAAGAGUAAGAGGAAGAUGGCCAAUGAUAAGAAUUGCCAAGCAAGGUUCAACAUGGUUGUGUGCUCAAAGUUUAAAUGCAAAGGUUGGUGUAAAGCUCAACUGAAUGGAUCUAGGAAGUUUUUUGGCCGCUUACGUGAGAAUUCAGACUGCUUGCCACCCAGAGGGAACAAUAUUGCUCAACCAAAAGACGGGUGCAAAGGCAAAGUCUGGGACCCAGGAAUCCAUUCUAUCAAUCACCAUUAUAUUGAACCUGGAGUUUUGCAUCACAUUCAUAUUAACACUGCAUUCUGCAUUUUUCAGAUUACAAAAAAAAAUUUCGCUACGCGACGCGAUCGCAUCAGCGAUGCGUCCGCGUCGCAAGGGGAGUGAAGAAAAAAAUAAAUGAAUAGAAAGUCAUGCUGGAGCAUGGCUGGAGGCGUGCCAAUGGCACAAAUCAACCCACGCGACCGCGUCACCGACGCGUUCGCGUCGCAUGGGAACCAUGGCCCCCCACGCGACCGCGUGCCCCACGCGGCCACGUGCCCUGGAUCUCGACGUAACAAGGUGUAUGGCCGAAAGUUGAGCUGAAGUUGGGCUGGACCCGUGCUAGUAGCACAAGCCCUGCCACGCGAACGCGUCACCCACGCGUCCGCGUCAUAUUGGAAAUAAGGCCACCCGGGCGAUCGCGUCGACCACGCGACCGCGUCACCCAGAAUUUUGGCAAAAAGAGUUUCGAACAGAGAGUUGCGCGACCGCGAGGCUGCACCCGUGCCAAUCGCACAAAACAGGCCACGCGAUCGCGUGACCCACACGUCCGCGUCACCUGACCUUAUCACGCACCACGCGACCGCGUCACUCACGCGUCCGCGUCACAAGCGGCGCACAGAAUAUCCAGAUCAGCCAAUUUUCUUAUCUUUUCUUCUCUAAUCCUUAUUUUUCUUAUCUUUUCUUUUUUCUUUCUUCUUCCUUAUCUUCUUUCCCUUCUCAUUCUUCUUAUUUUUUUUAUUUUAUUUUAAUUUAUUUACAUACUUUCAUUCAUUGCAUUAUUUUCAUUGGUGUUAGAAAUUUAUUUGGGUCAUUAUUUCUAUAUUUUACUUGUGGAUUAUUAGAGGAAUUAUUUGACAAUUAUAUAUAUUUAUUUUUAAAGGGUUGCUUGCAUGUUCAAUUUAUUAUUUUCAUUAGAUUAUUUACCAUACAUGCUAUGUGUUUGUGAAAACGCUCGUAUGGCAUUGUGCACUGCUUUUCAGUAUCUUUUAUCCUACUACUCUGAAUGCCUGCUUUUCACAAAACCCUUUUUCAUAUCAUAUUCAUUCAAUAUAAUUGUCAUUACAAACAUGUUGCUAGUUUGAAAGACUUGGUAAUCUAACUUGGACAUUGAAUGCUUGAUCUAUGCUACUCAUGCCUUUGCCUGCAUGCCAAUAAACACCUUACAUUCAAUUGUUAUUAUAUGCACUAGCUAUUUUCCAUUGAUGACUUUGCACAUGUACUCAUGAGCGUGUGUUAACGUCAUUCUUCUUUAUUGUGCAUUGAUUACCACCUUUCCCGCUCUCUUCCUUGCUCUAACCCUUAGCUUUAUAAGUCACUUUCUUUUUCCCUUUUCAGGAUGGCCACCAAGAAGGGUAAAGAGAAAGCUACUCUCAAACUACCGGCAAGAAAAGGAACAAAAAGAGCCCCAACUGAGGAACCACAACCCCCGUCCACUUGCAAAUCUCAGCAUGCACCGAGGACGGUGCAAUCUUUAAGUGUGGGGAGGUUGAUACCAAUCUCCGUGGGUUAGUACUUUCCUGUCUCAAACACCAAUAUUUUAUUUUCUUUGUUAAUUGUUACAUUUGCAUAUUUAAUUGCAUGAUUAUUUGAUUUUAUGCAUUUAGUUACUACUUGGUUGAAGUAAUAUUUUCUUUUUCAAGAAAUUUUUAUACUAUUUCACUAAUUUAAAUUGAAAAUUUUUUUUUGUUAAAUUUGUUUGAAGUUGUAUUUGGAACAUGGUUUUUGAGUCAAAGAACACACAACCUGUGAGAUUUUGAGCUUAUUUACAUGGUUACAUUAUUUAACCAUAAAUAUUUUAUUCCUAUGUGUUCCCUUCUCUAUGAUUGUAAUCUAUAUUUUGUUCCAACCUAUAUGUCCAUUAUUUAGUGUAUUUACAUGCUUGCAUAUGAUUGAGGCCAUUGUUUGAUUUUAGCUCACUUAUCCCAAAUAAGCCUACCCUUUAAAUCACCAUUGUCAGCCACUUUGAGCUUUUUAAUCCCCAUUUAUUCUAUAUUUUACCACAUCACUAGCCUUAAGCGGAAAACAAAUUAAUUAUCCCAAUUGAAUCUUUGGUUAGCUUAAGAUAGUGUGUUAAUUAAGUGUGGGGAAAUUGUGGGAACAUGGGUUAAUGAGGGAAUGUAUCAUGUUUCUAAUUUAUUUGAAUAUUGGGAAUUUGGGAACCUACUCAUAAAAAACCAAAAUAGAAAAAUAAUAGAAAAUCCAUGUGCAUUGAUAAGAUAUGUUUAUUUCUCUACAAAAAAAAAAAGAGAGAGAGAAAAAGAAAAAAAUAUAUAUAUAUAAUAUAAGUAAAUAAAUAAGGGGACAAAAUUACCCCAAUAUUAAGUUUAAUAAAAGAUCAAUGCACAUGUGAUAAAAAUUAAAGAAAAUUUGGUACAUGAGUAUGGGAAUUAUACAAAAGUGGGAAUUAUGGGUAGCUAGGCAUGAAUUUAAAAGUAUAUAUAGUAUAUGUAUAUUAGGUGAGAGCUUAGGUUAAUUAAAGAUUCAAUUUAUAAAACUCACUUAGCCAUAUAUAUACAUUUACCCUUACCUUAGCCCCAUUACAACCUUGAAAAAGAUCUCAUGAUGUUUGCAUUGGUAUAUUAAAUUUUGUUGAUUGGUUAGAUGAAGAACAAGGUUUAGAAAGCAUGACUAGAGAAGAGUAGAGUGAAUAACCCUAUACACUUGAGAGAUUAGAGUGAUAUACACUUCCAGUGAGGGUUCAACGCUUAAAUUUUAUGUUCCCUGCUUUCAUGAGCUGUCUUCUUACAAGUUCACUUGCUUUUUAUUGUAUGAUUUGAAUUAGUGGAAUCUGAUUUAUAUUUGUCUUGGAGAACUUAUUUACUUUUGACCAAGUAGAUAGAAAUAUUCUGCAUAUAUUUGCAUUCAUAUAGGUAGAUUGCAUUUCAUACAUCUCUAUCAUUCCUCUUCAUCUUUGUAGUUUCUCUUGAGCUUAGCAUGAGGACAUGCUAAUGUUUAAGUGUGGGGAGGUUGAUAAACCACUAUUUUAUGGUUUAUCUUGUGCUCAAUUGAGUGGUUUUUAUCUACUCUUUACCCACUUAUUCAUAUUAUUUGCAUGGUUUUACAUUUGCCUUCCUAAUUAUGUGCUUUGAUUGAAAACAUGCUUCUUUGAUCUUAUAUUUUCUUAUUAUUAAUCCUCUCUUAUUACCAUUAGAUGCCUUGAUAUGUGUGUUAAGUGUUUUCAGAUAUUAUAAGGCAGGAAUGGCGUGGAGGAUGGGAAGAAAGCAUGCAAAAGUGGAAGGAAUGCAAGAAGUUGGAGAAAUUGCUAAGCUGUCCAGCCUGACCUCUCUGCACUCAAACGACUAUAACUUUAGCUACAGAGGUCCAAAUGACGCAGUUCUAGUUGCGCUGGAAAGAUAACGUCCGGGGCUUCGAUUUGAUAUAUAAUAUGCUAUAGUUCCCCUGACGCUAGGCAACGCGACCGCGUGAUCCAUGCGGCCGCAUCACAGUGAUGGAAAUCCAGCGUGGCAAAAUUCGAAACCAGCGAAUUCUGGACUGUUUUUGACCCAGUUUGCGGCCCAGAAAACACAGAUUAGAGGCUAUAAAGUGGGGAAAUGCAUCCAUUCAUGGAGAGGCUCUGAUAAUUCAUAAUUUUAGGAGUAGAUGUAGUUUUUAGAGAGAGAGGUUCUCUCCUCUCUCUUAGGAUUAGGAUUUAGGAUUUCUCUUAGUUUUAGGAGUAACUCUCGAUCCAGGUUUAAUAUUCCUUUUACUUUUUAUUUCUCUUUUACUUUCAGAUACUCUCAUGCUUUUAUUUGUAUCUGAUUUAUGUUGCCCAAUUGGCUUAUGAACUUUUCCAUGUUAGAUUUUACUACUUUGAAUGUAUUUUAUUCGAGGUAUUCUCAGAUUUAAUUUUGCUUUGCUUUAUUUAUAUUGAUGCUAUUUAAUUUAGAUAUUUUCUUCCUUUUGGCUUUGGUUAAGUAAUUGGUAACGCUUGAGCUGUCAAUAAAGCAGUGAUUGAAAUUGGGAGUUGCUCCUUCCAAAACCCCAAUUUACAAACUCAUAACCAAUAAUAAGAACAUACUUCCCUGUAAUUCCUUGAGAAGACGACCCGAGGUUUAAAAUAUUCGGUUAUCAAUUUCAAAGGGGUUUGUUACUUGUGACACCCAAAACUUUUGUACGAAGGGAUUUUUGUCGGUUUAGAGACUAUAUCUACAACGCGACUGUUUUUAUGACAUUCUUUACUGGCAAAAAUCCUAACGUCAAAGACUUUCAAUGCUUCACCUUGAAUACCCCUUAAAACCACCAGACCAAUUAACCAUCGACUCUGAUAUCACUUGUUGGGUUAACCGUGGGGAGCUCUCGACCACUAGAGAGAUUUCGGGGAGAAAUCAAGUGAGAGAACAUAAGAUGAGAAGACACCAUAUCCAACUCAAAACCUUAAGGUGUCAAGUUAAUGGGUCUCUCAUCUUAUAAAUUCCUCACUCUUCUUUACUUUCUUUGAUGUGGGACUAACUUCAUGUACUCCUCACACUUGCAACACUAACAGACAAACCAAACAAACAGCUCCACUCUUAGAGGAACCAAGCCGAAAUAGUCUUGGUGAAACUAUAACUUGUUACGUCAUCCGAUGGCGUUUCCUCCUGCAACACUUGCACAAAUGAGUUAGUAGAAAAUACACAAUGUCUAUCAAACUUCCACACAACCCUAUCCUCUCUGUCAGCUGCUAGUUUAACUAGCCUCAAAGCGUCAUGUAAUUGAUUCAUAAGUUUCAACUCCCAUUGAAAAUAGCUCACACUUCUAUUGAAAGUUCCAAAUCCACUCUAACCCAUCCCAGAACCCACAGUCUCCUAUGAUAGAUCCUUUUUGGAUUGAAACAGAGAAGAGCCUUGGAAAUCUAUUCUUCAAAGGACCACAAUAUAGCUAGACAUCCUCCCAAAAUCGAGUUCUUUUACCAUUACCAACUUCCAUAGUCAACCCAUUUAUCAUCUUAUCUCUUACAUGUUGUUCCUUGAUUUGUAGUUGACAAAUAUCCUUCUAUAGACCUCUCUAGUAGGUAAUGUUUGGGUAGAAAGUAGCUCGUUAGAAUUAAGAUUAUUACAAGAGCAUACCACCUUUUUCUACAACGAACAUUCUUCCUUUGAAAACCUUCACCACCACUUAAACAAAAGUGCUGUAUUACAAACCAUCGCAUCUCCUACUCCUAGACCACCUAGCUUUUUCAAAGCCUGAACCACUUUUCAUCUAACCAAAGCCAUACCAUUUCUACCAUCAUCCUUACACCACAAGAAUUUUUUCUGUAAUGAAAUCAAUUUCUCAGCAACAGCCUUCGACAUCUUAUAUAAGCUUAAAUAAUAUAUUGGCAGGAUAUUUAAAACAGCUUUAAUAAGCACCAACUUUCCUUAUUUGUUGAGCACCUUCGAUUUUCGUAAGCAGAGCUUUUCCUCCACUUUGUCUAUUAUUGACUUCUAAAUUUUGACCAACCUCGGGUUAGCUCCUAGAGAAAUUUCAAGGUACCUGACUGAAAGAGUAGCUUCCUGGUGCGGUAAUUUCUAGCCACAGACUAACCGGCAAGUGCACCAGGUCGUACCAAGUAAUACCUCAGGUGAGUGAGGGUCGAUCCCACGAAGAUUGAAGGACUAAGAAACAAGGGUUGAUUAAUCUACUUAGUUAGGCAAACAGAAAAUAGUGUUUGAGAAUUCAAAAAGCAUUAAACAGAAGACAUGCAAAUAAAUAAGUUAGGAAUAAAAUAUGGAGAAUGCAGUUAAGGCUUCAGAGUUAUCUAUUUUCUGGAUUGACUUUUCUUAUUAAUUUAUUUUAAUCAUGCAAGAUUUAAUUCAUGGCAAACUAUGUGUGACUAGACCCUAAUUCCUUAGACCUUUCUAGUCUCCUCUAAAAUUCAUUAACCGCCAAUUCCUUGGACACUUAAUUCUAAUUAGAGGGUAAAGUUCAAUUCUAGUUUAUAUGCCACAGAAAUCCUAAUUACCCAAAUAUAAGAGGAUUAUAUAUCACGUAUCCUGUUAAGUCCAGAUAAUUAAAAUUUAGGAGAAAUUGUUUUCAAGCUGUUGUUCCAGUAAAGAGCUUUUCCAAGUUAUACAAGAACUCAAUUAGAAAGAGGGUCAUACUUCUGUUCCACCCAAAUUCAUAAAAUAAAGAACAAAAACAAUCCUUGAAAUAUAAAUCAGUGCAUGAAUUAAAAUAGAAAAAUAAUAAAAUCAAUCCAUACAAUAGACAGAGCUCCUAACCUUAACAGUGGAGGUUUAAUUGCUCAUGGUUCAGAGAGAAAAAUAAGGAUUCUGAUAAAAUGUAUUUUCGCUGAGGUGGAAUGGAAUCCCCCCAUGGAAUAAUUCCAAUCCCCUUUUAUAUCUAAUCCUAAUUAAUUUAAAAUCUAUCUUCUAAAACUAAAAUGAUAUCUUUUCCUAUUAAAAAUUAAAGUUUAAAUCAGAAUUAAUAAGAAUCAGCGUUUUCUGCACGUGACGCACGUCACGCGUACGCGUCAGUCACGCGUACGCGUCGAUGGUCUUCUUCAGGUGUCACGCGUACGCGUUAGGUACGCGCACGCGUCGCCAUGGAAAGCACCAAAUCACGCGUACGCGUCAAGUACGCGCACGCGUCGCCAUGGAAAGCUCCAAAUCACGUGUACGCGUCAGGUACGCGCACGCGUCGCUCCUCGCUGGUCAUCUCCUUUAAUUCUUGUGCUCUUUCCAUUUGUGCAAGCUUCCUCUCCAUCCUCUAAGCAUUUCUGCCCUAUAUAGCCUUCUUCUCUUUUUCUGCAGAAGCUCCAUCAAAUCCAACCAAAUGCUACCUAAAAUAAACAGAAUUGCACAAGACUCAAAGUAGCAUCCAUAGUGGCUAAAAGAUAAUUAAUUCUUGAUUAAACUCAACAAAUUGAAUGCAAUUUCACUAGAAAAAAAUAGGAAAGAUGCUCACGCAUCACAACGCUAAACUUAAAUUGUUGCUUGUCCUCAAGCAACCAAAAUUAAUAUAGGCUUAGAGUGUGAAUUUGCAUGAGAAUGAGAAUUCGAUUAAGCUCAUGUCUCUUCUUAUAGUGGGGUUUACAACUACAAUCUUAAAUAGUUUUGGCAUCUCACUCUCCUCUGAAUCAGAAGAAUGUCACUGUCACUCGGAAUUAGAAUCUGGAUAAUAUUAUGAAUUCUCUGGUCUUUGUAACUGAAUUUAACCCUUGAACACAGCAAUUUUUCUUUUCUUUGGUGCUUUGCACCUUGAGCCUAGUCGUGACUUUAAAUGUUUUGUCUCAAGCUUUACUUGACAUAGAAAUACCACAAGCACUUAACUGGGGAACUCUCUUUAAGUUUUGAUUUUUCUUUCAGUUACUCCCAGACAGUGGUGCUCAAAGCCUUUGGCAUACUCUGCUAAUUGCAAUUGAUCUCGACUCUAAAUGUUUUAUCUCAAGGAUUACUUGACACAAGAACACCACAAGCAUAUAACUAGGAAAACAACUCUUUGAGCUUUUAAUCAUGUCUGACCUCCCUAGUCAUUGAUGCUAAGAGCCUUGGACCUUGCUCUUUUUUUUUCUUUUUUUUUGCUGUUUCUUUUGCUUCAAGGAUUAAAUUUUUGUUUAUUUCAGAGAAGUCAUAAUAAUUCUCUAAAUCCCUGUUCCUUGUACAUCAACAUUCUUUGAUUCAAAUUUAAAUAUGCACUGUUCAUGUCAUGCAUUCAGAGUCACAGAAAAUACCACCACAUGUAAGUGAAUAAGACUACUCUUCAAUAUAAACUCAAUUUCUCAUGCAGUACAUCACUUCCUUUUUCUUUUUCUUUUUAGAUUCAAGUUCAGUGAGCGUUAUAUGAGACAAAUAACAGAAUAAAACUAAUUCUAAGAACUGAAAGUACUAAAGACCAUGCAGGCAAUCAAAGCAACAGAAAACAGAAAACAACAAAAUAAGAACGGAAGAGAAAUAGAAUGAAGGAAACUCAACCACCUCAUUUAUGCUAGUGGCCAUCUCAUUCCUCCAUGAAGAACAUUCAUCUCUUUUUGGUGCUAUUAAAAUAAGCAGAAAAGCCAUAAGCGUAGCGACAACACCAAACUUAAAGGUUUGCUUGUCCUCAAGCAAAGAAGAACUGAAAACAGAGAGGGACAUAGAGAGACAUAAAAAUUAGUAUGAUGCAAGAAGAAUAAAAGGAUAAAAGAACAAGAGAAAAUUAGGAUUGGGGGUGGAUGAUUUGAAAUCAGGCGCUGAGGGGUUUAAUUUGGGCGUCGCAUGCGACGCGUACGCGUGGAUCGCGUGAAUUUCAAGUGACGCAUACGCGUCUGGCACGCAUACGCGUGCCCUUGGUUUGUGCGAAUCACGUGAAGGCAGCCGCACGCACGCACAACUCUCUGCUCACGUGGCCUGGGAAUCAAAAUUUUCAGAUGACGCGUGCGCGUCAUGCACGCACACGCGUGGAUAGCCAAUUUCGGAAAAGACGCGCACGCGUCAGGGACGCGUACGCGUGAUCAAGUUUGUGUCUCUAGCACACUUUCAGCCCCAAACCAUCACAACUCUCUGCCCAAACACUCGUUGACGCCGUUUUUCAGGGUCACGCGUCUGCGUCAGGGACGCGCACGCGUGGGUGGCCAGUUGUGCAAACGACGCGCAUGCGUCAGGGACGCGUACGCGUGAUGCGGCUUAUGCGUCGAGCAUAGUUCCAGCUCCACUCCUGCUCAACUCUCUGUCCAAUUUUAUUUUUCAAGCACACACAUAUGACGCAUACGCGUCAGUGACGCUUGCGCGUCGUGUGCUCUUUUUUUUUUUUUGUGUCACCUGAAGUAUUCGGUUCCUGUUAUAAAAUAGCUGCAUGUUCAGAAAAACAGUAAAAACUCAAUAAAAAUCAAACAAGUAAGAAAACUACUACGAUGAAAAAUAACUAAGGAUACGAAAUUAUCGGGUUGCCUCCCGACAAGCGCUUCUUUACCGUCACUAGCUUGACGGUCAGCUCCUCUAAGGAGGAGGAUCAUAGGGGCUCAGCUCUUCACCCCUUACUUUGAACUUUUUUCCUGUGUCUCCAUAAAUAAGCUCAAUAUGCUCCAGAGAGAGGAUUCUGUUUACUGUAUAAAUUCACACUGGAUUCCUAGUCAACACCACCUUUUGUUCCUAGGGAGAAACCUUCAGUAGGGAUCUUUUUGUUUCUCCAUCCCCUGAGCAUUUUCUUCUUUUUGGGAACCUACUCCUUGGUGGAUGAUGCAUUCCCGACACCAAACUUAGGUUUGAUGUUAGGAGGAAUUUUAUUGAUUGUCACCAAAGGAAGUUUGAGCUGCAGAUUCUGUGGUGCAUCAUCAGGGAGUUUUUGAAGGUUUGGAUCAAUGAGCUCAGUCUGCAUGCACCUCUCCUCUUCACCUGCUGAAUGUAUAUCUUUGAAGACAUGAAUGACCAGUUACUCAUUAUACACUCUAAGCACUAAUUCACCCACUUCUACAUCAAUUAGAGCUCUCCUAGUGGCUAGGAAUGGUCUUCCUAGAAUUAUAGAGGCAUUCUCAUCCUCCCCUGUGUCAAGAAUCACAAAAUCUGUUGGGAGGAAGAACUUACCCACUUUGACCAAGAUAUUCUCCACUAAUCCGUAUGCAGGCUUCAUAGAUUUGUCUGCCAUCUGUAAUGCUAUCUUUGUGGAUUGUGCCUCUUGGAUUUGCAACUUCUUCAUCACAGACAAGGGCAUUAGAUUUAUGCUUGCCCCUAGAUCACAUAGGACUUUCUCAAAGGUUGUGCUCCCAAUGGUGCAUGGAAUUUGAAAGCUCCCUGGAUCUGGCAUCUUCCUUGGCAAGUUAUUCUGAAUUAUGGCACUACAUUCCUUAGUCAGGACCACUGUCUCAUCUCCAUUUACAGGCUUCUUCUUUGACAACAACUCCUUCAUGAACUUGACAUAGAGAGGCAUUUGCUCCAAAACCUCAGCAAAAGGAAUAUUGAUUUACAACUUUCUGAAGACUUCCAAGAAUUUUGAAAACUGCUUGUCCUUGGUCUCCUUUUAAAGUCUCUGAGGAUAUGGCAUUUUAGGCUUGUAUUCAGGAGCCUUUGGCAAUGUAGGAUAAGUUUCAAGAGAGUCUGGGAAUGGGUUGUCUGCACACUUUAGAGGGACGUGCUCUACUUCUUCCUUCUUCUCUUCUGGAGCUUCUUUUUCAACUAACUCUCCAUUGACCUUGGUCUCAGAGCCAGCUACUUUACCACUUCUCAAUUGAAUAACCUUGAAAUCUUCUUUUUCAGCUGGCCCCUCAUUAACUUGUGCUUUAAUACUUGCCACUUGUCCACUUAUCAAGGUGAUAGCCUUGCAUUCCUCUCUUGGAUUUGGAAUUGUGUUACUAGGAAGGCUAUUAGUGGUCCUCUGAUCGAUUUCAUUAACUUUUGUGGCUAGUUGGCCCAUCUAAAUCUCCAAAUUCUUGAUUGAUGCUCUGGUUUUCUGUCUAAAACUUGUCAAUAUUGCUUCCAAAUUAUUGUUCUGCUGGGGCUGAGAAGUUGCUUACUGAGAUGACUGAAACUGGUAGUUAUUAAAAUUCUUCUGUUGAAAACCACUGACGUGGCAGAAAUUGGCGAGUUAAGAAAUUAUUAGAAGAGAUACGUUGCAAGUACAGUUCUUAACCAACCAAAAAUUCGCUUAUCAAUUUAGAAGGGUUGUCACAAAAUUUAAAUUAAAAUAUUGGGAGUAUGAAUCCCAGGUCGUCUUCCAACGAGUUGCAGAAAGGUGUGCUAUUUUAUUAAUCAGAUGUCUUCAAGAAAAAUGGGUUGAGUUGAACAACAGGAAUUUAAAUUAGAGAAUUUAUGUAAUUUUAAAUGAAAGCCUUGGUUGGGAGUAGAUUAGUUGGAAGCCCUAUUCUUGUUGGAGUACUCUCAAGAUUAAUUGAUAAUUAAGGGUUAUUCUGUUUAGUUAUCCCUUACUAGGUAAGGGAAAGUCAAACAAGUUGGAAAGCUAUUUCUAUUCACAAGUCCCAAUCCGCUUACUUGGAAGGAUUGGUGUCAGUGACUAGAGAGCAAUCCAACAAUAAACUCAAUUACAAUUUUUUUAAGCAUUCCAACGCAAGGUCUUCCUUUCAAUCAACUCCCAUCCAAGUUAUGGAACUACUCGCUCUUUGUGAAUGUAGAAUUCAUAACAUAGAAAAGGAAAAUAAAGAAAUACAUGAUAAAUAAUAAUAAAAAGACCAAUUAGAAAUAAAAAUAAUCCAAUAGUAAUUCUGAAUAAACAAAGGACAUGAAAGAGAAAGAGACAGGUAAAGAAAACAAACUAGAAUGACGAAGUCUUGCUGAGGUAAUAACUCUUCUCAAUAUCCCAAUGCAAAAAGCAAUAAUAAUAAAAUCCUAAGAACUAUGAAUGUGUAGAGAGAAAACCUAGAGGAGGAGUAAAACUAGAUCUAAAACUAAGAUUGUGUGGAAUGAAUGUUCCCCCCCCCCGGUUUCUGCAUGUUCCUUAGCUCUAGUCUGCUUUUCUGGGCCGAAGAUUGGGUCAAAGUAGGGCCCAAAAUCGCCCCCAGCGAAUUCUGCAGAUCGCGCAUGUCAUGUGAUCGCGUCAUUCAUACGGACGCGUCAUUCGGCGUUUUGCCUUGCCACGCGUGCGCGUCGUCCACGCCUCCGCGUCACUUGUGCAGUUCCAAUCCGCGCGGUCGUGUGAGCCAUGCGUCCGUGUCACUUUUCGCUGGUCAUCUCCUCAAUUUAUUGUGUUCCUUCCAUUUUUGCAAGCUUCCUUUCCAAUCUCCAAGUCAUUCAUGCCCUAUAAAGCCUGAAACACUUAACACACAGAUCACGACAUCUAAUGGAAUGAAGGAGAAUUAAAAUACGUAAUUAAAAGUCUUUAGGAAGCAAAUAUUCAAUCAUGUAAUAAUUUUAGGAAGGAAGUAUAAAUGCAUGCCAAUCAUAUGAAUAAGUGGGUAAAGAAUUGAUAAAACCAUACAAUUAAGCACAAUAUAAACCAUAAAAUAGUGGUUUAUCAACCUCCCCACACUUAAACAUUAGCAUGUCCUCAUGCUUAGUUGAAGGAGAUAAAAUAAAUGAGUAGGAACAUGUAAAACUCAUGCAAUGCAAUACAACCUAUAUAUAUGAAUGCAACUAGAUGAUUUUUUGUCCACUUGGUUAAAAGUAAAUAAGCUCUUCAAGACAAUUACAAAUCAAAUUCCACUAAUUCAAUUCUUAUACAGUAACAACAGAUAAAAGUGCAAGAAGAUAGCUUCUGAAAGUAGGGAACAUAGAAUUUAAGCAUUGAACCCUCACUGAUGAUGUAUGUAUACUCUAAUCUCUCUAGUGUAUAGGGCAAUCACUCUAUCCUUCUCUAAUCAUGCUUUCUAAUUUUUGUUCUUCUCCUAACCAAUCAACAAUAUUUAAUAUACCUAUGCAAACAUCAUGAGGUCUUUUCAAGGUUGUAAUGGGGCCAAGGUAAGGGUAAGGAUACAUAUAUGGUUAAGUAAGCUUGUAAAUUGAAUCUUUAAUUAACCUAAGCUUUAACCCACACAUAUGUACAUUCUAUAUAACUCAAAUUUCAUACCUAGCUACCCAAAAUUUCUCUUUCACAUUCCAUACUCAUGUAUCAACUUUUAUUUUAAUUUUAUCAUACAUGCAUUGAUCUUUGAAUUCUUAACUUAACCUUGGGGUAAUUUUGUCCCCUUAUUCAUUUAUUGAGAAUUUUUUUUAAACAUAAAUAUAAAAAAUAAACAUAGCUAAUCAAUGCACAUAAAUAUAUUUAUUCUUAUAGUUUCACACGAGUAGGUACCCAAAUUCCCAUUAUAUUAUCAUGACACAUUCCCUUAUUAUCUUUUGUUCCCACAAUUUCCCAUACUUAAUUGACACACACAAUUCUAUCUUAAGCUAACCAAAGAUUCAAUUGGGAUAUAUAAUUGUUUUUCCGCUUAAGGCUAGUAAUGUGGUAAAAUACAGAACAAAUGGGAUUUAAAGGCUCAAAGUGGCUAACAAAGGUAAUUGAAAGGGUAGGUUUGAUUUGGAUAAGUGAGCUUAAACAAGUAAUGGCCUCAAUCAUAUGCAAACAUAUAAAUAUAUUAAACAUUGGACAUAUAGGAUGAAACAAAAUGUAGAUUACAAUCAUAUAGAAGUAAACACACAAGAAUAAAAUAAUUAUGGUUAAAUAAUAUAACCAUGCAUAAAGGCUCAAAUCUCACAGGUUGUGUGUUCUUUAGCUCAAAAAUCAUGUUCCAAAUACAACUUCAAGCAAAUUUCAACAUAAAAUUUUUGAUUAAAAUUAGUGAAAUUUUGUUCUAAAGAUAGGGUCUUAGAAGAAACUUAUUGUCUUUUCAAUCAAGUAGAACAUGCAUGCAACUAAUCUAUUACUAUGCAAUUUAUCCUAUUCUACAAAAGAAAAACUAACUAAAUAUCCUAAUAUAUUGGUGUUAGGGAAGAGAAAUUACCUCCGGAAGUCAGGUACUGACCGACCUCCCCACACUUAUGGAUUUGCACCAUCCUCGGUGCCAUCUGUCAGGAACAAAGGUAGGCUGGUGGCAGUAUCUCCACAGUCGGGAUCGUCAUGGCUCCCUGUGUUGGUAAAGGAAGUGGAGUCCGGGGUGUCUGAGUCUAGGGGUGGAAACAGGCCAGGCCAGGCCAGGCUUUAGUCUUAACAGGCCAGGCCUGUAAUAGAGUAUAUUGGCCUUAGCCUGGCCUGUAGCCUGAUAUAGGCUUUUUAAUGAGUAUUGAGCCUGGCCUGUUGUUAAAUCUGGCCUGGCCUGAAGCCUGUUAAUAGGCCUGUUACAGCCACAUGUUCAGGUUUGUAAAUGAAAGGAAAACAGAAUUUAAUAACAUGUAAUUUGCACCUAGGAUCCAAAACACAAGCAAGAGACAUUACCAUAUUGCAUUCUCCCCAAUAUUUGUCAAACUUUUCUUUCAUUGAGGUUGCCAUUUCUCUCAUGAAGGAAUCUCUAUCUUCAAUAGCAUCAUCAAUUACUUGUUUCACUCUCCAAACUUCAGGAAGGUACAAAUUUGCAGUAGGAUACUCACUACCAGAAAUGACAUGAGUAGCAAGAUUAAAAACUUUUAAAAGUUUGCAAAUCUUCUCAACUUUCCUCCAAUCCUCUGAUGAUGGUUCGUAACUAUAGUGGGGUUUUCUUUCUUUUUAUAAACAGCAAACACAGAUUUAAACUUCAAAGCCACAGAUAACAUGUUGUAAGUAGAAUUCCAUCUUAUGGGACAAUCAAUGAUGAGUUUUUUCUCCUUCAAACGCUUGUUUUCAGCAAUCUCAACAAAUGUUUUAAAUCUUGAAUCAUUAAAAUUGACAUACUGGACACUCUCACGAACUUUAUGAAUAAUACCUUUAAUUUUACCUAGCCCAUCUUGUACCAACAAAUUCAGAAUGUAUGCACAACACCUAACAUGAAACAAACUACCACCAACAGGUAAUGAGUUGUUAUCUGAAAUAGUAUCCUUAAGAGCCCUUAGACAUGAAUCAUUAUAGGAAGCAUUGUCAACAGAUACUGAGAAGACUUUGUUUUCAAUUUCCCAAGUCUUCAAACACUUGAAAAUAGCAUCCGCAACAUCAAUGCCACGUCUAGGAGCAGGUACCUGAACAAAACUCAAAAUCCUUUUUUGAAGAUUCCAUCCUGCAUCAAUAAAAUGACCUGUGAUAACCAUAUAUUCAAUAAUUUGAUGACUUGAUCUCCACAUGUUAGUUGUCAAACUUAUCUUUCUAACACCUUGUAACAAAGCCUUCAGUUGUUUCUUUUCAGCCUCAUAUAUUGCCAAGCAAUCACUUCGAGCAGUUUUGCGAGAAAUUUUAUGAAAUUCAGAAUUGGCAUAUUGGAAGCCCCACAUCCAAACUUCAUCCUCAACAAUGCUGAAAGGAUGCUCAUGAAUCAUAAUUGCUGUAGCAAUUAUUUGUCUCAUCUUCUCUUGAGAAUAUCUUGCACCUGGUGUCACAAAGGGAUUAACACUUGAAUUGGAAGGUUGAAAUGGAAUCAAUGGUUGCUUCUUUUGUGCAGCAACAUGCAAUCUCCUUUGUAAGCAACUACUAGAAUGCCUCCAUAAAUGUGAAGUACUUGCUCCUUUUCCAGCGUAAGAAAACACUGAUUUGCAAUACUUGCAAAUAGCUUUUGUACCUUCAGAACUUUCAACUUGAUCAAAAUCGUCCCAAAUUGGUGAAGUCUUCUUCCUUUUUUUUGUAACAAUAGUUUCAUUACUACCAUUUUCAUCAGUGACUGGUUGAUUUGUAAUAAUUGUUGUGUGUGUUGGUGCAAUGCCAGUAUCUGUUGUUGCCAUUGUUGGUACUGACGGAUUAAUUUCUUCUCCAUUUAAAGAAAUAGAAUUUGUCAAUGGAUUACUUGGAGUUACAGAUUCAGCCAUUUCUAAAGCUUAUUGUAAUACCUAAACAAAAAUUAACAGACAACAUUAUCUCAUGAUUUUUUUUUUGCUUUCAUCAUAUCAAUGGCAUAAAGUAAGAACCUUUUAACGAAAAAAAAAGAUAAAAUUUUAUGUUCAGAAAAGUAGAAGUAAUAUCACAACACAAACAAAAAAAAUCAAACUUAAAAGAAGAUCUUUGACAGAAUAAAAUCCUAAUUGAUGAAAAAUAAUUAACAUUAUAACAAUAAAUAUAAAAAUAAUAAAAUAAAAAAUAAUGACAUGAGAAAGAAGAAGAAGUGCUUACAGUCAAAGGAAGAGAAGAUGAAGAGGAUGAUAGAUUGGUAGCUGGUAGCUGGUAGGAGCGUGUAAAGUGGAGAAGAGAAAAGAAAAUGACCGUGUUAAUGUGUAUUUCUUUAUUAGUGUGGAGGGAAAGAUUUUAGAAUUAUUUUAUUUGAUUGACUUUUGAUAUUCCAACAUCAAAGAUUAAAGAUAUUAAGAAAAUAAAAAUACACCUAUAUAAUUAAAGAGAUAAAUGGCUGAGUGGAUAAAGGUAUUUUUAUAAGUUAGAAGACCCAAGUUCAAUUCCUUCCAAUAGCAUUUUUAUUAGUAUAUAUAUAUUUGCAAGCUCAGGCCGGCCCAACAGGCUAUUUCAAAAGCCUAGGCCUGGCCUUUUAAAUAAUAUAGGCUUUUUUAAUAGCCUGAGCCUGGGCCUAUUUUCUAUCAGGCCAGGCCAGGCCAGGCUAAAUACAGGCCAGGCUACAGGCCCCUGGCAGGCCGCCUGGCCUAUUUCCACCCCUAUCUGAGUCCUUGAAUUUUCCCAUAUCAGCUCCUUAAGGUAUGUGAAUCGGCGCUUGUUACGGCGCUCUCUCAUCUUAGCUUUGUGUUCCUGCCGAUCUAACUUUUCAAGUAUCUGAUGGAACAGUUGGUUUGUUGUAGGUGCUUGUGCUGCUGAUGGAGGGAUGUCCUCAGCCGGUUCAGUAGGCUGGCUAGUAGUGGCUGCUGGGAGUCUAAUAUAUUUUUUGUUAGGGACGUAUUGAUCAUCCCGUGGAAGCAUGGCUUUGGUGUCCCCAGCUCUGUAGGAGACUCUGGCUGCUGAGACGAGAUCUGAGACCAAGACGGGAAAAGAUAAGUUGCCUGCAAUUUGUACGUGUCCCAUUGCAUUCCGGAUGUGUCUUGCUAGGUUCAGAGGCUGGUCUGUAAGGAUGCACCAUAGUAGAAUGGCCAUGUCUGCAGUGAAGGAGGAUUCGUAGGUGCUCGAAAAGACAUAAUGGGACAUGAUCUGUGCCCAUACGCGAGCCUCCAAGGUAAGUGCUGAAGCCGAUAUUCCCUUAGGACGGGAACGAUGGUAUUCAUAGAUCCAUCUGCUGCCAGGUAGUGCGAUAAAUCUGAGAACAGUGUUCCAGUCAAAUUGGUACAUCUGGUGCUUAAGUGCGGCUUCUUGAAAUGCGUCCAGUCCUUCUGGAGUAGUGGGAAGAUCUAAAGCUUGUUGAAUGGCCUCUUCUGUAAUGGGGACUUGCUUCUGUCGGACAUAGACAGACUGUAGGGUUGGCAGGUGGAAAUUAGAGUAGAACUCAACUACCCAAGAAAGAUUAACCUGCCGUGGCUGUCUCUGGAGGAAACCCCAUUGUCUUCGUUCAAUUUGCGGCUCAACAAAGGUAGCAAUAUUGGGUGGGAGGAUAAGAAGGUAUACGUUGUUGUAGCUCCAUUCUGCCAGGAUAGGGAACAUCUGCUCACAGUAGCGAUUGGAAAAUCGCGCAGUGUCCUUUGCUGGGAAGGCUUUCUCUUUUUCAUCAACCUUUAUAAUCCUCUUAAUUCUUUUUGUUGAGGGCUUGACUGCAGUUGAAGAAGGUUCUGCCACUAAUGCUAUUUUUGUUCCUCUCCUUGCUGUUGAUUUGGGAGUAGCUUUCUCUUUUCCUUUCUUAGUGGCCAUCCUGAAAGGGAGAAAAGAGAAAGUAUGUCAAAAUGUCAAGGGGUAGAGCAAGGAAGAUGAUGGUAUGGGUGGUAAUCAAUGCACAUUAAAGAAGAAUGAAGUUAACACAUGGUCAUGACUACAUGUGAAAAAAAUCAUAAAUGGAAAUUAGCCAGUGCAUAUGAUGACAAUUGAAUGCAAGGUGUUUAUUAGCAUGCAGGCAAAGGCAUGAGUAGCAUAGAUCAAGCGUUCAAUGCCCAUGUUAAAUUACCACAAAGUUCAAACUAACAACCUGUUUGUAAUAACAAUUAUGCUAAAUUAAUAAAAUAAUAAAAAUAGUUUUGUGAAAAGCGGGCAUUUAGAGUAGUAGAAUAAAAGAGAUUCAAAAAUAGUGCACAAUGCCAUACGGGUGUUUUCACAAACACAUAGCAUGCAUGGUGAGUAAGUUAUGGAAAAUAAUAAACGGAACAUGCAAGCAACCCUUUAAAAAUUAACAUAUAAUUGCCAAACAAGUUCUUAACAAUCCACAAGCAAAUCAUAAGGAAUAAUAAUGACCCUACUAAAUAUCUAACACCAAUUAAAAGAAAAAGAAAAUAUGGAUAACGAAAGUAAAAAGAAAAGAAAAGAAGAAAACAUAAGAAUAAGAAGAAAAAUAAAAAAGUAAGAAGAGAAGAAGAAAAAGAAAACCUUGGUAAUGGUGGUGAGAGAGAGAAAGUAGAAAGUGAGGAAGAAGGAAGAAGGAAGAAAUAAGGAGGGAAAAGAAAAAGUAGGAUUUGGGGGGAGAAAGAUAAGAUAUUUUGGCACAAUAGGUUAAGUUGUGCGGCGCGCAGGCGACGCGGACGCGUGGGUGACGCGGUCGCGCGACUUGUGCUUAUUCGGAUUGACGCGGUCGCGUGACACAGUUUAUGCUACUGGCACGAGGGCAGCCUCGCGCUCGCACAACUCUCUGUUCAAAAUCUUAUUUUGCCAAAUUUUAGGUGACGCGAUCGCGUGGUCGUCGCGAUCGCGUGAGUGGCCAUUAUAGGGAUAUGACGUGGACGCGUGAGGCACGCAUUCGCGUGGUAAGGGUUGUGCGUCUAGCGCUAGUCCAGCAUCACUCCAGCAUAACUUUCGGCUAUGCACCCUUUUCACGUCGAUUUUCAGGUGACGUGGUCGCGUGGGGUGAUUUGUGCCAAAGGCACGCCUCCAGCCACGCUCCUGCGUGACUUUCUAUUUGCUUUCUUAUUCUUUCUGAGCCACCUGCGACGCGGACGCGUCAUUGAUGCGGUCGCGUCGCGUGAAAUUUUUUUUUCGAAAUAAAAAUAUGCAAAUGCAGAUGCAAGCUAAAUGUGCGAAUAAAAAGAAGAGUUAUUGAAAAAGAAAACUGUGAAUAAAGAAAAGAACGAUCAUACCAUGGUGUGUUGUCUCCCACCUAGCACUUUGCUUUAACGUCCGUAAGUUGGACGCUCCGCUAGCUCAGUCUUCGGCUAUGUGUGGAUCUUCCAAGAGGAAGAUCUCGAGCUCUUUGUUUUUUUUCAACUUCACGCCAUGGUACAGCUUUAAACGAUGUCCAUUAACUUUGAUGAGUUCAGAGCUUGAAGGAUGACUUAGGUGAAAAACUCCGUACGGCUCGGCCUUCUCUACUCUAUAUGGACCUUCCCAUCUUGAUCUCAACUUGCCUGGCAUGAGCCUCAGUCGAGAUUUGUAAAGGAGGACUAAGUCCCCAUGUUGCAACUCCCUCCUCUUGAUGUGCUUAUCAUGUACAGCCUUCAUCUUCUCCUUGUACAGCCUUGAGUUCUCAUAAGCUUCCAGGCGAAGGCAUUCUAAUUCUUGCAGUUGCAACUUCCUCUCAGCUCCGGCUGUUUCAAAUCCUAUAUUGCAUUCCUUUAUUGUCCAAAAGGCUUUGUGCUCUAUUUCAACUGGGAGAUGGCAGGCUUUUCCAUAAACUAAGCGGAAAUGACUUAUCCCAAUGGGUGUCUUGUAUGCUGUUCUGUAUGCCCAAAGUGCAUCUUGUAGCCUGGUGCUCCAGUCUCUCCUAUGAGGUUUGACUAUCUUUUCCAAUAUACGCUUUAUCUCUCUGUUUGACACCUCGGCUUGCCCAUUAGUCUGAGGAUGGUAGGCGGUUGCAACUUUAUGAAUUAUCCCAUGCUUCUUGAUUAAUCCUGUUAGUCUCCUGUUACAAAAAUGGGUGCCUUGAUCGCUCACGAUUGCUCGUGGUGAUCCAAAGCGACAAAUGAUAUGGUUUCUAACAAAGAAAACAACAGUGUUAGUAUCAUCAGUGCGGGUAGGAAUUGCUUCCACCCAUUUGGAAACGUAAUCCACAGCUAACAAUAUAUAAAAAUAACCAUUAGAAUUUGGGAAUGGACCCAUGAAGUCAAUGCCCCAAACAUCAAAAACUUCACAGAAAAGCAUAAUUUGUUGAGGCAUCUCAUCCUUUUUGGAUAUAUUACCAAAUUUUUGACAUGGGAAACAAGAUUUACAAAAUUCAGCAGCGUCUCUAAAAAGAGUAGGCCACCAGAAUCCACAGUCUAGGAUUUUUCUAGCUGUUCUUUGAGGGCCAAAAUGUCCUCCACUCUCAGAUGAGUGGCAAGCCUCUAAGAUGGACUGGAAUUCUGAUUGAGGCACACACCGUCUAAUUACCUGGUCAGCGCCACAUCUCCAUAAAUAUGGGUCAUCCCAUAUAUAAUAUUUAGACUCGUUUUUCAGCUUGUCACUUUGAUGCUUAGUAAAGUUUGGAGGAAAAGUGCGGCUAACUAGAUAAUUAGCUACAGGUGCAUACCAAGGGACUACCUCAGAUACUGCUUGCAAGUUAUCAAAUAGGAAAUUAUCAGCUAUAGGAGUGGAGUCAUGCUUAAUGUGCUCAAGGCGACUCAAGUGGUCUGCCACUAGAUUCUGGUUACCACUCCUAUCCUUAAUUUCUAAAUCAAAUUCUUGUAGUAGCAGUAUCCAAUGUAUAAGCCUUGGUUUGGAUUCCUUUUUAGCUAAUAGAUACUUUAGAGCUGCGUGGUCUGAGUACACUACUACUUUCGUACCAAGUAAAUAGGCUCGGAAUUUAUCCAGAGCAAAAACAAUAGCAAGAAGCUCUUUCUCAGUAGUAGUAUAAUUAGACUGAGCGGCAUCUAAAGUUUUAGACGCAUAAGCAAUUACGAAAGGAUCCUUACCUUCGCGCUGAGCCAGUGCUGCUCCUACUGCAUGGUUGGAAGCAUCGCACAUUAUUUCAAAUGGCUAGCUCCAGUCUGGUCCUCUCACAAUUGGAGCUUGAGUCAGGGCGGUCUUCAGCUUAUCAAACGCUUGUUUGCAAUCCUCACUGAACUCGAACUCAAUAUCUUUCUGCAGUAGUCUGGAUAAGGGAAGUGCUACCUUACUAAAGUCCUUAAUGAAUCUCCGGUAAAAACCUGUAUGGCCAAGGAACGAACGGACUUCCCUCACAGAGGAGGGGUAAGGUAAACUAGAAAUAACAUCCACCUUUGCUGGAUCUACAGAAAUGCCAGUAUUAGACACAACAUGUCCUAGUACAAUCCCUUGUGUAACCAUAAAGUGAUAUUUUUCAAAAUUCAAUACAAGGUUUGUACUAACACAUCUAUCUAACACUCUAGAUAAACUAUCCAAGAAAAUAUUGAAGGAAUCACCAUAUACACUAAAGUCAUCCAUAAAAACCUCCAUACAGUCCUCAAUAAGGUCAGAGAAAAGACUCAUCAUGCACCUUUGGAAAGUAGCUGGUGCAUUGCACAAGCCAAAGGGCAUUCUCUUAUAAGCAUAAGUCCCAAAAGGACAUGUAAAAGUAGUCUUUUCCUGAUCUUCAGGAGCUAUAUGAAUCUGGAAAUAACCUGUGUAACCAUCUAAAAAGCAAUAAUGUGAUUUACCUGACAGGCGAUCCAGCAUUUGAUCAAUGAAUGGAAGAGGAUAGUGAUCCUUACGAGUGGCUUGGUUGAGACGCCUGUAAUCAAUGCAGACUCUCUAGGCGUUCUGUACUCUGGUUGCCAUGAGCUCUCCAUGCUCAUUCUUCACUGUAGUGACUCCAGACUUCUUGGGCACUACUUGUACUGGGCUCACCCAUUCACUAUCUGAGAUGGGGUAGAUGAUAUCUGCCUCUAGUAGUCUGGUCACUUCCUUCUUAACAACCUCUAAGAUAGUGGGGUUCAGUCUUUUCUGGGGUUGACAGACAGGUCUUGCCCCCUCUUCUAAAAAUAUUCUGUGCUCACAAACUUGAGGGUUGAUGCCUACUAUGUCUGCCAAACUCUAACCAAUUGCCUUCUUGUGCCUCCUCAGCAUACUAAGUAGCUGCUCUUCUUGUUGAGAAGUGAGUUCCCUUGCAAUGAUAACUGGAAACUUUUGUUUAUCCUCAAGGUAAGCAUAUUUGAGGUGUGGAGGGAGGGGUUUCAAUUCUAACUUCUGCUCAUGGUCAGGCUCUGGGUUGUCAAUGGUAAAGCACUGUCAUUGUUCUCAGAAAGUGUCCCCACACGCGGACCUUGUCCUAUGUACUUCUCUUCAAAUUCCUCCUGGUGAAUUUCAGCCACGGUUUCAUCUAUGAUGUCACACUGGAGGAUAGAAUAAUCCUUCGGAGGAUGCUUCAUAGCUACAUUCAGAUUGAAGAUUACUACUCGGCCAUCUAUUUCAAAAGAGUAUGUUUCUGAAAAAGCAUCUAAUUUGGACUUUGAGGUCUUCAGGAAUGGUCUUCCUAAUAUGAUUGAUGAUGGCUUCUCUGAGUCAUUUUGUGGCAUCUCCAGGAUAUAAAAAUUAAUGGAAAAGGUGAGUCCCUUAAUGCUCAUUAAUACAUCUUCAGCAACUCCAGCCACUAUAAUAAUGCUUUUAUCUGCUAACACAAAAUGAGCUGCCGACCUUUUUAAGGGAGGGAGCCCCAAAUUAUCAUAUAUAGACAAAGGCAUUAUACUAACACAUGCUCCUAAAUCACACAUGCAGUCAGAAAAUAUCACACCACCAAUAAUACAAUUAACCAUACAUGGACCUGGAUCACUACACUUCUCAGGUAUACCUCCCAUUAAAGCAGAUAUAGAACUACCUAAAGGAAUAGUUUCUAAUUCAUUAAUUUUGUCUUUGUGUAUACAUAAAUCUUUUAGGAACUUUGCAUAUUUAGGUACCUGCUGAAUAACAUCAAAAUGGAGAACAGUUACCUCAAUCUUUUUGAAUAUUUCUACCAUUUUAGGAUCAGGUUCCAACUGCUUCCUGGGCUUCCUUGCAAGUUGUGGAAAUAGAAUAGGAAUGGCGUUUUCUGCAGUGUCUGCGCCCUUUUGUGCUUCUUCCUGUGAUUGAGCUUUUUCUUCUUCAGCCAUGUCCUGUAUGUCCUUUUCCUCUUCAACAUCUUCUACUUCCACUACCUCUUCAGCUGAGGUGUGUUCUGGUGGGUUUGGCUCCUCUUGAUUCCUCUCUUACAGUGUAGUUCCGGACCUUAGGGUGAUGGCAUUGAUGUCACCCUUCGGAUUGGGCAAGGGUUGAGAAGGAAUUCCACUGGAGUUUGCCUGUUGAGUGUUUGAAGUAUUGGGUGGUGCCAGCUGAGAGAUGAGAGCUUGUAUGGCGGAUUCUAGGCCAUUAAGUGAACUUUCCAUCUUCCUUUGUCCUUGUGCAAUGGAUUGAAUGGCCUCUUCACUCGGAGAGGAAUUAGAUUGAGGGAUCUGCGAAACUUGUUGCUGGUUGUGCUGUGGUCCUUGGGACUGCCUCAGGUGAGGUGCUCUGUAAGGCUGGUUCUGGUUCUGCUACCUGUUGUUGUUAUUAUUCCACCUCUGAUAUCCUUGAUUGUCUCUGCCUCCUCUGUUAUUGUUGUCCCUCCAAUUCUGUUAGAAUUAUCUCUCCAACCUUGGUUAGAAUUGUCCUGCCAUCCAUGGUUGUAACUGCCACCUUGAUUGUACCCUUGGUUGGGGUGGUCAUAGAAGUUAUGAGUGGCUGCCACGGUGUUGUCUUCCUAUUGGAGCUGCGGGCAUUCAUCAGUAUAAUGGCUGUAAUCAGCACAUAUUCUGCACACUCUCUGUGGGACUAGCUGUUGGCUUUGAUGCGCUUGUUGUUGACUCAACUGCAUCUGCUUCAGUAAGGUGGUCAUUUCACUUAUACUCUGAGCCAGAGCAGUAGUCUCCUUGCUAGAAGAUACCUCUGCAACAGCUUUUGACCGGCCUUGUUUCUGCCUGUGAUUCCUUGUAGAUUCAGCUAAGUCGCUGAUCAAUUGCCAUGCCUCAUCAGUGGUCUUGUACUUUUUCAUAGACCCAUUGCUAGCACUUUCCAAUGUAGUCUUAUCUUGGGGCCUCAUGCCCUGUGUUACGUAGCCGAGCAACACUAUCUUGUCAAUCAUAUGGUGGGGGCAUGCUUCCAGAAGGUUGUUGAAGCGCUCCCAGUAUUCAUAGAGAGUCUCAGAUUCGUCCUGAACAAUCAUGGAAAUGUCUUUCCUCAGUUUAUCAGUAACUUCAGCUGGAAAGAAUUUUUCCAAAAAUUCCCUUCUAAGUGUAUCCUAGUCGGAUACAGUUGCUGCGGGUUGAGUGUAGUACCACUCUCUCGCCUUUCUCUCAAGAGAGAAUGGAAAGGCUUUUAACAAAAUAAAAGUUUCAUCUGCACCAUCGCGCCUGACAGUAGAACAGGUUGCUUGGAAAUCUCUCAGGUGCUUGAUAGGCUCUUGAUCAUGUAAGCCAUGAAACUUAGGCAUCAAGUUUAGCAGUUCAGUCUUUAUUUCAAAGUUCGUAGCCACCGCUGGAUGAUGCGCUUGAAACGGUUGUAAUGAAAAAUCAGGGGCUCCAGCCUCCUGGAUAGUAAUUCUCCUAGGUGCUGCCAUGUCACCUGCACAUAAAAUCAACCGAAUCAGCAGAAAGGGAGCCUGUUUCUUACUCAAGUGACGUUUUAAAUCCGCCCUCAGAGAGGACUAACUGACGCCGAGCUUGCCUUAUUCGUGAAAUAGUUCUUUCAAUCUCAGGAUCGAAUACUGGCAAGCUUGGAUCAGGAAGUGAACGCGUCAUUUAACGAAAGAAACAUGAAGCUCAUAGUAGCAAAAUAAAAUAAAAUGCAAACAAAUAAAUUCCAAUUAAUAACUUUAGCACUCUAUUACAACUCUCCGGCAACGACGCCAAAAAUUGACGUGGCGAAAAUUGGCGAGUUAAGAAAUUAUUAGAAGAGAUACGUUGCAAGUACAGUUCUUAACCAACCAGAAAUCCGCUUAUCAAUUUAGAAGGGUUGUCACAAAAUUUAAAUUAAAAUACUGGGAGUAUGAAUCCCAGGUCGUCUCCUAACAAGUUGCAGAAAGGUGUGCUAUUUUAUUAAUCAGAUGUCUUCAAGAAAAAUGGGUUGAGUUGAAUAACAGGAAUUUAAAUUAGAGAAUUUAUGUAAUUUUAAAUGAAAGCCUUGGCUUGGAGUAGAUUAGUUGGAAGCCCUAUUCUUGUUGGAGUACUCUCAAGAUUAAUUGAUAAUUAAGGGUUGUUCUGUUUAGUUAUCCCUAACUAGGUAAGGAAAAGUCAAACAAGUUGGAAAGUUAUUUCUAUUCACAAGUCUCAAUCCGCUUACUUGGAAGGAUUAGUGUCAGUGACUAGAGAGCAAUCCAACAAUAAACCCAAUUACAAUUUUUCUUUUAAGCAUUCCAACGCAAGAUCUUCCUUUCAAUCAAUUCCCAUCCAAGUUAUGGAACUACUCGCUCAUUGUGAAUAUAGAAUUCAUAACAUAGAAAAGGGAAAUAAAGAAAGACAUGAUAAAUAAUAAUAAAAAGACCAAUUAAAAAUAAAAAUAGUUCUUAUAUUAAUAAACUCUAAAAAUAAUCCAAUAGUAAUUCUGAAUAAACAAAGGACAUGGAAGAGAAAGAGACAGGUAAAGAAAACAAACUAGAAUGACAAAGUCUUGCUGAGGUAAUAACUCUUCUCAAUAUCCCAAUGCGAAAAGCAAUAAUAAUAAAAUCCUAAGAACUCUGAAUGUGUAGAGAGAAAACCUAGAGGAGGAGUAAAACUAGAUCUAAAACUAAGAAUGUGUGGAAUGAAUGUUUCCCCCCGGUUUCUGCAUGUUCCUUGGCUCUAGUCUGCUUUUCUGGGCUGAAGAUUGGGUCAAAGUAGGGCCCAAAAUUGCCCCCAGCGAAUUCUGCAGAUUCUGCAGAUCACGCAUGUCACGCGAUCGCGUCAUUCAUGCGGACGCGUCAUUUGGCGUUUUGCCUUGCCACGCGUGCGCAUCGUCCACGCCUCCGCGUCACUUGUGCAGUUCCAAUCCGCGCGGUCGGGUAAGCCAUGCGUCCGCAUCACUACGAUUUCCUGUAUGUCGUGCGGUCGCGUGAGCCAUGCGUCCGCGUCACUUCUCGCUGGUCAUCUCCUCAAUUUCUUGUGUUCCUUCCAUUUUUGCAAGCUUCCUUUCCAAUCUCCAAGUCAUUCAUGCCCUAUAAAGCCUGAAACACUUAACACACAGAUCACAGCAUCUAAUGGAAUGAAGGAGAAUUAAAAUAUGUAAUUAAAAGUCUUUAGGAAGCAAAUAUUCAAUCAUGUAAUAAUUUUAGGAAGGAAGUAUAAAUGCAUGCCAAUCAUAUGAAUAAGUGGGUAAAGAAUUGAUAAAACCAUACAAUUAAGCACAGUAUAAAUCAUAAAAUAGUGGUUUAUCAACCACCCUGAGAAUUAUUAUUAAAAUUUUGUGGCCUCUAAGGUUACUCUCUCCACCCAAAUUUUGGGUGAUUUCUCCACCCCUGAUUGUAGGUCUGAGAAUAGGGAUCAUUAUUGGGAUUUCUAGGAGCACUACCCAUGUAAUUGGCCUGUUCAGAAGAGGAUUGAGCAUAAUCAUAAUUAUCAUUUUGCACAAAAUUACCUGUCAUGUCAUAAGAGACCUCUUGAGAUGGAUUUUGGGUGUUGAUAGUUGAGACUUGCAUGCCACCCAUCCGCUGAGUAAGUAGAUUUAUUUGUUGAGACAUAAGCUUGUUCUGAGCAAGAAUAGCAUUAAGAGCUUCUACUUCCAUAACACCCUUCUUCUGAGGAGUCUCAGAGUUCACAGGAUUCCUGUUAGAUGAGUAUAAAUAUUGGUUGCUAGCAACCAAUUCAAUCAGCUCAAUAGUCUCCUCCGGUGUCUUCUUCUUGUGCAGUGAACCACCUACAGAAUUAUCUAAGCACAUCUUGGACAUUUCACCCAAGCCUUCAUAAAAGAUGUCUAGUUGGGUCCAUUUCGAGAACAUGUCCGGAGGACAUUGCCUAGUCAGUAGCUUGUAUCUCUCCCAAGCUUCAUAAAGAGUCUCACCAUCCUUCUGCCUGAAAGUCUGAACCUCCACCCUAAGCUUAGUCAGCUUCUUUGGUGGGAAAAAUUUAGUAAGAAACUCAGUAACAACCUUGUCCCAAGUAUCCAAACUCUCCUUGGGUCGAGAAUCUAGCCAUAGCUUUGCUCCAUCCCUCAGAGCAAACGGGAAGAGCAUGAGUUUGUACACCUCGGGGUUCACUCCAUUUGUCUUCACAUUAUCACAAAUCUGCAGAAAAUUAGAAAUAAAUUGAUUUGGGUCUUCCUGGGGAAGACCAUGAUACUGGUAGUUUUGUUGCACCAGGGUGACCAAUUGUGGCUUCAACUCAAAGUUGUUCACAGCUAUAGGAGGCACCACAAUGCUUUUUCCAUAAAGAUCUGCAGUAGGAGCAGAGUAAGAGCCAAGCACUCUCCUUUGUGGCUCAUUCUCAUUCGAAUUUUCCACAUUGGCAUUAAUAGCAUUAUUAGGAUCCAUAGUGGAUUCUGCAGUCUUGUAGAGUCUUGCUUGUUGCAAACGUCACCUGAGAGUUCUUUCGGGUUCAGGAUCAAAGUCUAAAAGAGGUUCCUUGUCUCUGUUCCUGCGCAUAAAUAAACAGAAAACAAGAAAAGAUGGGAAUCUCUACGUCAGAGUGCAGAGAACUCCCAGUGAGGUAACCUGUAUAAAAUAAUAAAAUAGAAAUACUAAAUAAAUAAAAUAGAAAAUUUCGAAAAUGAUAACUGAAAUAAAACAAAAAAAUUCGAAAAUUAAAAGGGAAAAUAACAAGGAAAUUAAAAUGAAAUUUACUAGGUGACACCAAACUUAAUUUCAGAAAUUAAGGAAAAAUAUUAGUUCUAUUUAUUUAUUUAAAUUUUUUUUUGGAAAUACUAAGCAAAAUUUAAAUAAAAUUAAAAGUAAAACGCCUAAUCUAAGCAAUCAAAUAAUUAAUAGUUGUUAAUUACUAUCAAUCCCCGACAACGGCGCCAAAAACUUGGUGCAGUAAUUUCUAGCCACAGACUAACCGGCAAGUGCACCGGGUCGUACCAAGUAAUACCUCAGGUGAGUGAGGGUCGAUCCCACGAGGAUUGAAGGACUAAGCAACAAUGGUUGAUUAAUCUACUUAGUUAGACAAACAGAAAAUAGAGUUUGAGAGUUCAAAAAGCAUUAAACAGAAGACAAGCAAAUAAAUAAGUUGGGAAUAAAAUAUGGAGAAGGCAAUUAAGGCUUCAGAGUUAUCUAUUUUUCGGAUUGACUUUUCUUAUUAAUUUAUUUUAAUCAUGCAAGAUUUAAUUCAUGGCAAACUAUGUGUGACUAGACCCUAAUUUCUUAGACCUUUCUAGUCUCCUCUAAAAUUCAUUAACCGCCAAUUCCUUGGUCACUUAAUUCCAAUUAGAGGGUGAAGUUCAAUUCUAGUUUAUAUGCAACAGAAAUCCUAAUUACCCAAAUAUAAAAGGAUUAUAUGUCACGUAUCCCAUUAAGUCCAGAUAAUUAAAAUUUAGGAGAAAUUGUUUUCAAGCUGUUGUUCAAGUAAAGAAUUUUUCCAAGUUAUACAAGAACUCAAUUAGAAAGAGGGUCAUACUUCCGUUCCACCCAAAUUCAUAAAACAAAGAACAAAAACAAUCCUUGAAAUAUAAAUAAGUGCAUGAAUUAAAAUAAAAAAAUAAUAAAAUCAAUCCAUACAAUAGAUAGAGCUCCUAACCUUAACAGUGGAGGUUUAGUUGCUCAUGGUUCAGAGAGAAAAAUAAGGAUUCUGAUAAAAUGUAUUUUGGCUGAGGUGGAAUGGAAUCCCCCCAUGGAAUAAUUCCAAUCCCCUUUUAUAUCUAAUCUUAAUUAAUUUAAAAUCUAUCUUCUAAAACUAAAAUAAUAUCUUUUUCUAUUAAAAAUUAAAGUUUAAAUCGGAAUUAAUAAGAAUCAUCGUUUUCUGCACGUGACGCACGUCACGCGUACGCGUCGAUGGUAUUCUUCGCGUGUCACGCGUACGCGUUAGGUACGUGCACGCGUCGCUAAGCAACUUUACUUUUCACGCGUACGCGUCAGGUACGCGCACGCGUCGCUCCUCGCUGGUCAUCUCCUUUAAUUCUUGUGCUCCUUCCAUUUGUGCAAGCUUCCUCUCCAUCCUCUAAGCAUUUCUGCCCUAUAUAGCCUUCUUCUCUUUUUCUGCGGAAGCUCCAUCAAAUCCAACCAAAUGCUACCUAAAAUAAACAGAAUUGCACAAGACUCAAAGUAGCAUCUAUUGUGGCUAAAAGAUAAUUAAUUCUUGAUUAAACUCAACAAAUUGAAUGCAAAUUCACUAGGAAAAGAUAGGAAAGAUGCUCACGCAUCACUUCCUUGCAUCCCAACAAGUUGCACAUACUUUGCACCCAUUGUUGGUCACAAUUGAUUAAGAUCAAAUCGGAUUUGUCAAAAUUGAUGCUUAACCCCGACAUCAACUCAAAGCAUCGUAGAAGCCUCUUGUAUUUCUUAAUAGUCUCCUCCUCUAGCGGACAAAACAACAUAGUGUCAUCUGCAAACUGAAAAUGCGACAAUUCUAUGUUGUCUCUCCCAACUAAUAAUGGGGAUAUACGUCUGUUCCUAACUGCAUUUCCGACCAUUCUAUGUAGGACGUCAACAACAAGUACAAACAAAAAGAGAGAUAGUAAGUCCCCUUAUCUCAAACCUCUUUCCAUCUUAAACGACUUUAUUGGUGAACCAUUUAUCAAAACCGACAUAGAAGUUGUGCCGACACACUCCAUAACCAACUCCCUUCACUUUCGCCCAAAUCCCAUCUUCUGCAAAACGAUAUCCACAAAGAUCCACUUGACUUUAUCGUAAUGCUUUUGAAAAUCUAGCUUGAGUUUUUUUUUUCCUUAUUUUAAGCCAAUGCACAGUUUCACACACAAUAAGUGCCCCAUCAUGUAUUUUACGACCCUUAACAAAUACACUCUGAGUCUCCCCAACCAGUCUUGGUAUCACUGAUCUCAUCCUCCUAACUAUCACCUUCGAAAUCACCUUAUACACACAUCCAACCAUACUGAUCGGGCAAAGGUCUUUGAUUUCCUUAACCCCAGUGAACUUGGGAGCCAACGCAAUCCAUGUAAUAUUAGAGUCUUUUGGUUGUCUGAAUGUCUGAAAAAAACCAGUCACAGCUGUCGUAAACUCAGUCUCAAUCUCAUCCCAAUACUUCUUAAUAAAGUUCAUGUUAUACCCAUCACUUCUUGGUGCUUUAGAUGAUUUACAGUCCUACACAACCUCUUUAAUCUCUUCAACUGACGGCAAUACCUCUAAAGCCACAGAAUCCUCUUCAGAUAUCAUAUCCACCAGUCUAUCCCUGAAGCUCACCACAUGAGACUCCUCUUGAUGAUACAGUUGCUUAUAAAACCCUCUGAUAGCAAUCUUUAUUCUAGCUGAGUUUCUAACUAAUCUUUCAUUAAUUACCAGAGCAUCAAUCCUGUUAUUCCUCCUCCUCGAAGAAGCUAUGUAGUGAAAGUAUCUGGUGUUUUUGUCCAUGUCCUUCGCAUGCUGAGAUCGUGACAUCUGUUUCUAGUGCAACUCUUUUCUAACAUACCAUAUUUCACAGCAAGUCACCAAUGCCUUAUUUCUUGCCUCCACUGUUCCAUCAUACUAUGUCAUCUAUCUUCAUUAUCUCUUCCUCAAACUUCAUAAUUUUCUUAUCCAUAUCACCAAACUUGCCCUUGUGCCAUCUUCCCAUAAAAACUUUCAAAGCCUUCAAUUUUUCUGUGAAAUAUACCUCCCCUAAGCCCCUAUAUUCCUCCUUAACCAUUAUUAGAAAACCUUCAUUUGUAAAUCAUGAGUCUAGGUUUCUGAACGGUCUUGGGCCGCCUCUCAUCUUUGUAUUUUUCACUAUCAUCGGAUAGUGAUCUGACAAGCCCCUUGGUCCUCCUCUUAGGCGAGUCUCUGAGAACUCCUCAAUCCAUUCCAGACUAACCAUCACUCUAUCAAUCCGACCACAUGAACAACCUCUAAACCAUAUAUACUUAUGGUCAUUAAGGGGUAAGUCCACUAAGUGCAUAUCUUGUAUCCAAUUCUUGAAUACGUCAACAGAUACUGUUAAGCUACUAGUACCUUUUCUUUCCUCUACCUAGAUAAUCUUAUUAAAGUCCCCCAUAAAGUAACAAGGGACCUAGCAUAAUCUAGCAUUAUAGCUCAACUCCUCCCACACAACAAGUUUCUCAUCUCUAGUAUGAGCGCCAUAAACCAAGAAGAAAGUGCAAUUAAAAUUAUUUUUUAAUAAAAUCCCUUCAACACACAACCAUCUCUCUCUUUUAUAGCAAUUAUUCUUUCUAAACUUAAUUUCAUCCCAUAGUAACAAAAACCCACCCGAUGUACCAUUAGACGCAAUAUAUUCCCAUCCCAUACUAUCGCACCCCUAAAGCCGCACUAUAUCAAAUCUCGUCAUUACAUACCUUUUAGUCUCAAUUAAUCCUAACAUAUUCAGUCUAUAUUUCUUCUUUAAGCCCUUUACCAUGCUUAACUUUCCAUCUCCACUCAACCCCCUAACAUUCCAUGAACUAAAAAUCAUUCUAAAAGAUUAUUACAUACCUUUUUUUUAUUUUUGGGUCUGUAGUGUUUUGCUUUCGACAUUUGUUUUGCCAAUCCCUUUUUUUUUAGCAUUUUCUUCAUUAUGAGCUUGGAGAAUUGCGAUAAUAUCAUCUUUUUUAUUGUAUAAUAUUGCACCAAAUUCCACUGCUAAUUUCCAUGUCCUCUUGUUUUUCAUCGUUUGCUCCUCCACUUUCAAACUCUGAUUGUCGCUUGUACCGCCAUCAAUUCCAUCACCUUCUCCCUUGUUAGAGUCUCCCCAAUUUCAUCUCCACCGUGCCCAAACUCACCUUGCCUACUGCCGAACCUCUAUGUUUAUUAACAACAUGAAAUUCAUGAUCCACAUGCUCAUCAGUCCAGGUCCUAUUUGCAGUUUCACUACUAGCCUUGUUCUCACCCUUAGUACCCGUGUUCCCAACAUCAUCCCCUGCAUUACACACCUCCCUGUUACCCCCCAUAUCGACAACAUCUUCAUCAUCUCCAUAGCCUCCCAUUACCGAGUCCUCAGCAUCCGCAACCCCUGCUUCACCUGGGUUUAUUAUGUCCCCUAAUAAUUUAAUUUUGAUGCAUUGUCAAUACAAAAUAAUUUUAUACAUGUAUUCAAUUACGUAAUAUCACAUCAGUAAAAAUAACCACCAUCUUUUAGAUUAUUGAUUGUACUGCGUAAAAAGUCACCCAAAAAAUGAAUAUAAUUGAACGAUUGUGUAAACGGUAAUGUUUAGGAGACAAAAAAUAAUCAAUUUAAAUUUAACUUAUUUAACAUUUAUUUAUUAUAGAGUGCAUUAAAUAAAAUCAAGAAUAGUAAGUUUUGAUAGUUUUUGACUAACUUUUUGUUUUUCAAAAUUUUUUUAUUAUACAAAAUAUUUUAAAAAACUGUUAGUGCAUUAAAAUUAAUCUGAUAUAUCAAUUGUAAAUACUUAUGUAGAUACUUGUGUGUGCAAAGGUAUAUUGUUCUAAGAUUGAAUUAGGACACGCAUAGCAUUUUUUCUUUCCAAAGAUAAGAUGUGUAAUUUUAUAUAAUAAAAUGGUUCUGUUAGAUAGACAACAGAAAAUUUGAACAACAUAAAUAAUGGGCCGUUUUUUGGUCCAUCGAAGAUAAAAAAAAAUUCACCCCAAUCAAGUAACAAAACUUUUUUACCUUAUCUUUUCAAAUUUCUAACCAUCCAACACUAUUGCCUCUCCUGAAAAUCCUAUCAGCACCAUUGUUGUCCAACCAGUUCCCCACUGAAUUUGCAACAAGAACAAUCAUCCCUUUUGUAUGUAAAUAAACAUCCAUCCCUUUUAUAUGUAAAAUAAAAUAUAAUAAUGAAUUUACAAUAAGAACAACCAUCCCUUUUGUAUGUGAAAUGAACAUCCAUCUCUUUUGUAUGUAAAAUAAAAUAUAAUAAUAGAUUUGCAACAAGAACAACCAUUCCUUUUGUAUAUAAAAUGAACAUCCACAGGCAAAUAAAACCUCUAAUAAAUACCUUGUCAGAAAUUUGCUCCUCCACAAUAUUACCAUCUGAGUGAGUAUUGUUCUUAUAUGGAUACUUGGAGGGAGAGCUCAGCCUCUAGGAAUCGAUGUCGAGUUGUUAUCUUCGGUGCCGACCUUUGAGCUUUGUGGUAAUCCGAGCUUUACUCCAAGAGGAUGUCCAAUCGCGUAGAGCUUUGAGCAAGAAACAGGGGAGAGUGUACCUGCAAAGGCACUCCGAAACUUAAGUCAGUAUUGAGAAUUCAAUGUAUCUUUUAGGAUAGAACAUCAUACCUUUUUAUAGGUGAUAAUGUAUAAAUUGGUUAUGUUCCUGCUUUAUUUCCUGUAUUAAAGAGCAAUAAUAAGGGUGAAACGUUAGGUUGGACGUUUCACUUUUGUGAAGCAGUCCGUUAAGCUGAUUUGUAACGUCACUUUUUAAUAAAUGACAUUGAUUGUCGAUUAGUAACUGUAAUACCGAUUAAUAACGUAAAUUGUCGAGUAAUGACUGCAAUGCCGAACUAUAACGCCAAUUUUCUGGGUAAUAAUGUGAACAAUGCCGAGUUAUGAAUGAUAAAGCCGAUUUAUAAUAUUGGAUUUGUAAUGACCAGACCACAGCCCCCAAGCUUAGCCUGAAAAAAUGUUUAAUGAAGCAGGUUGAGCUUUUAAUGAUGUAUGAGUCGGCUGCUGAAUAGUUCGGUGUGUGCUUCUGUCUUGUAGCCCCCAGGUUAAGGUGCUUUAUUGAACAGUUACUGAGACUAUAGGCAUUCAUGAUUAGGAUAGAAAAAUAAUUAAAUGAAGGUAUUAAUGAGUUUGCGUGUUUCCAAGGUGGGUUUAUUGGGUUUGACGUGACUGAUUUGAUGGGAAGUGGAAGCGAGAUUUUGGGUUAAAGUGUGUGAAUUAAAGUUUAGGAAUUCUGAAGGUUUGCAUGCUUGCUGUUUUAUUUUUCUCAAGCGUUUUCAACCAAAACAUGAGUAAAAGAGGUGAGUGUCUCUUAGUUCUUUUUAGUUUUUCUGCUUAAUCGUGUUCUCUUCUUCUCCUUCUCUGCUUCUGUUUUUCCAAUGGGUUAUGAGAAAGAAACGAAAGGGGAGGUAGAUUGGUCUUAUGACUGGGUGAAUGAUGAUGUAAGGGAUCGUGUUUCUCUGUUUUUGGAUGUUGGUGCUGUGAAUGAGAUAGAUAAGUCUAAGGUUGCUAGGGCUAAUUCUGGGGUUCGAUUGGAGCUGCUCUCCUGUACGGUUGACGAUAGAAUUUUUCAUAGAGGGGAGGGUUUUGAGCAUUUUUUUAUGUAUAGUUGUGUUUUGGAGGAACUAAGGGUGAGAAUUCCUUUCAGUGAUUUUGAGCGUAAAGUUCUGAAGCAAUUGAACUGUGCGCGCUCACAACUUCACCCCAAUGGUUGGGCUUUCCUUCGGGCAUUUGAGAUUCUUAUGGAAUUUUUGGAAGAAAAUCCAUCAGUGGAGUUGUUUUUCUCAUUGUUUCAGGCGAAGGGUGUUUGGAAGGGUGGUUGGGUGAACUUGAACAACUCUCCGGGGUUUGGUGUGUUCAAGUUAUAUAAAUCGUCUUUUAAGAACUUUAAGGAAAUGUACCUUAAGGUAAGUAGUUGCGAGGAUGACUUUCCGUUCUAUGUGGACGAGCAUUUGGGGAAAAAAAUUUUUCUCUGGUGGUGUUCAGAGCCUCAAAAUAUUUUAGGACCUGAAACUAUAAGUCCAAAAGAUGAGUGCAUAAUUGAGCUUUUGACUGAAGUUGUUGAUCGGAAGGAGUUGAUUUCUGUUUAUGCUCUGCUGCACUGGGAGGAAAAUAAAGCUGCUGUUAUAGAUUAUCUGGGUAAGAUUUUGAAUUGUGGAUGUUGUAUCAUAUCUGACGUUUUUUGAACAUGUUUUUGUUUUUCUUGGUUUUCAGGUAGUAAGUACCCAGGUGUAUCUGCAGCGAGUUUGAGGUCUCGUGUGAAGAGCAAAGGUUUGGAUAAGGAGGUAUCCUCAUCGAAGGCAGAUAAGGUCGGUAUUGGCGAGGUUGAUCAGCCAAGGCUAGGGAGGAGGAAAGUUAUUGCUAAGAAGAGAAAAGGUGCUGUGGUGGAUUUGUCCGACAUUUCUGAUGAUGAGAAGGAUGAUGUUCCGAUGGAGGAGGUUCAUAGGUUUUGUGAUAACCAGAAGAAGUUGCAUGAUUUUGUUGAGCAGAGUGAGAGGUCGUCGCUCUAGGGGAAAGAUUAUCCUUUCAUGAUCACUGCUGAUGAGGUAUGCCAGACCCCGUCUGAUGUUAGUUUGGCGGAAGAGGUGGGGGAUGUGGCGAUUGAUCAAUAUAUGCAAGUGACUUCUAUUUUGUGAGGUAAAAAGUUUAUAUUUGUGUUUUUGUUUUGUGGAAAAGUAAUGUGUUAAUGUCUGAUCCUCAGGUUGUGGGUCUGCCGCUGGCGACUUUAGGAUGGAGCCGUGAAAAGAUUCAUCGGAAGUUGGUUGAGAAAAAGGAGGAUCCGAGUUUGAGGGAAGAGUUGGCUAUAAAGGUUGCUAAGGUUUCCGAGCUUGAGGUGAAGUUAGUUGAGGUUGAGAAACAUUUGAAAGAAGUGAAAGAGAGCUAUGCCAAAGAUGUUGAAGAUUUAAAGAAGAAAGAAGCAGACUUAUCUUCUAUGAGUACCCGUAUGAUCGAGGUUACUGCUCGGUUGAAGGUGGUGGAGAAGAACAAGCAAGGAGAAAUUCUUGAUUCCUUCCUUGAAGGAUUUGAGAGGGCUGUUCUUCAGGCGAGAUUUCUGGCUCCCGAGGUGGAUUUCUCGGCAAUGGAUCCAGGCAAAAUAGUGCAGGAUGCGUUAUAGUUGAAGAUGGUGGUGCUGCUGAGCAAGGAGAUGAAAAUGUUUAGUUUGUGUGUUGUUUUGCAGCUGUUUGACUUAAUUUGCUCUUAAUUUUGUGAUAUUAUGUAUGCUGCUGUUUUGUGAACAACAAACUGUUGGUAUUUCAGGUUACAUGCUGUCUUCUGCAUGUUAGGACUAUAAUAUGAUAUUGUUAUUUGUAUGAUAUGUGGGUGGUUUUCUGGUUUGUGAAUGUGGCAUUGAUGCGAAAUAUAGUAGUGGUACUAAUGGUGUAGUGCUAUUAUUUUGAUGGAGAAGUACCAUGUAGAGGACUGAUUAGGCCGAAUUCGUGAUGCCGAAUCAGAUAGUGAAAAUUGUAUUGUGUUUUAGUGAGCAGCUAUGAUUUUAAUUUAAAAUCGGUUAACAUGUAUUCAGUUGCGAAGGAUUUGUUCGGCAGUUUGUUAGUCUGACCCGUUAUUUGUUUAAUAUUUGCGGCAUAGUCGGGUUAUAGCAUUCUGAUUCUUACUAAGAGAUUUGAUGGAUUUGUUGAAUUCGGAAUGACUGGAUUCCGAUUUAGAUCGGUAAUUUGUUUGGUAAAUUCGGCUUGCGAUUAAGAUCUGAUAUUUGUUUGAAUGAAUUUCUAUUAUAAGGUCUGCUAUCGGAUUCAUUGAUUGUAUCUGAGUAUUGGGUUCCGUUUUAAGGUCGGCAGUCGGAUUGACUGAUUGUUUCCGAGUGAUUGGGUUCCGUUUUAAGGUCGGCAGUCAGAAUGACUGAUUGCAUCCGAGCGAUCGGAUUCCGUUUUAAGGUCGGCAGUCAGAAUGACUGAUUGUAUCUGAAUGAUCAGAUUGAUAGUAUAGAUCGGCAUUAUAUGUUUAUGCAUGAAGCGAGAAAUGUAGAAAGUGAUGAGUUGAUAAAAUGAAAUAUUUAUUGAAGAACCUUUGAUUCCAAAGGCCCAGGUAGGCUAGCCUCGUUAAAACCUCUCUAAGCAAAACCCUUGUGGGAAAAAUCUUGGUAGUAGGAAAAAGAGUACUGGCAUGUCCCUGGUUUUAACUGUAAUAUGACUUUAAGGAAGAUACAUUCCAAGUGUUAGGGAGAUUUUUACCC
RNAcentral lists this long non-coding RNA (81855 nucleotides) under Arachis ipaensis. RNAcentral describes it as "long non-coding RNA (AIPA_LNC000325)". The record is from RNAcentral. Lineage: Eukaryota; Viridiplantae; Streptophyta; Magnoliopsida; Fabales; Fabaceae.